Molecule: long non-coding RNA, 49353 nt
Filed under: Gossypium barbadense (sea-island cotton)
Lineage: Eukaryota; Viridiplantae; Streptophyta; Magnoliopsida; Malvales; Malvaceae
Description: long non-coding RNA (GBAR_LNC010228)
Source: RNAcentral
UUUUAGGUGUGCAUGUAUGAUGUUAAUAUUAGCCAACAAUUUCCCACCUGGGCUACGCACAUACACAUACUAAUUAACUUAUAAUUACAUGCUUUACUAGAACUACAAAAUGUGCAAUUGUAUACAAUCGUAAUAAGUAAUAAAGUGAUAAGUAUAUCGAGUUAUCGUCUCCAUAAGGACUGUACAAGAAAAUAUUUAUGAAAUAUUGACUUAAGUAAAUUUGGGCAAGAGAUGGAUGGUUUUGGGCUGCUCCUUGGGCUCAUGCUUCUUCCUUCCUCAAUUGGUCCUUCCUUUCACAUCAGGCUGUCUAAAUUUAUAGACCCAAUUAUUAAUCGAAUCAAACUAAUUGUUUAGAGAGUCCAAAUAUGUUAAUAUGGGACAUUCAUGGCUGUAAAUUCAUCAAAUAAUGCUUUAGAGAUGCUCUAGCAAUUUAAUCUUCCCAAGGUGACUUCAAGGCUGAUUUUACUUCCAUUACACAAAACUACUAAAAAUAGGCAGAAUUCCAUAAGUUUAAUAUUAAAAGCUAAAAAUCAAGAUGUGUCUUAAAUCAUAUCCAACUUAGUUAUUUUACAAUGAAAGCACAAAAUCCAAUAAAAAAUAGUUAGAAUUUUCAUGAAUUAAUGCCUGAAGGUGCUGAAAAGUUUAUAUAUUUUAGUGCUUCUACACCCCUAAACUUAAUUCAUUGCUCAUCCCGAGGAAUGCUUGACUUACGAAGAAUUCAAGAAAAUAACCUUUCAAAAAUCAAUCCUUCCCAUAAUUAUGAGUUUAAUACAAUUAUGCUCAAGAAUAAAAAUUCUAUAAUUAUGCAACUCAAGUGUACAUAUCAUUUAAUUAUUCUCAAAUAUUAUCAUGAUAGCAAAAAUAUAGACCACAUGCUUUCUCUUAAUAAUUAUGUACUUAGUUUAUUCCAAUAAACUUUUGCUCCCUUAAUUUAAACUAAGUUGCACUCCUUAAGUUUAAUUAUGCCUUCUUAAGUUGAGCUUAGAAAUAUCUCUCCACUAAUGUAGUUGGCAUAGAAAUCUAAAUCAAUAGGUCAUUAAUAUGGUUGUAACGUGGCUUGGCUAGAGGUAGGUAAAAGAUAGAUAAUGUAGGCUAAAACCCUAGACUUAGCUUGCCUUGAACCUUCGAAAUACAAAUGCCCCAAAAUCACCUGCUACUUUUGAAUUUGAGUACACAUGCUCUCUGUACAUCUUUAUUUUUUAGUACAUAUGUUAUCUCUCUCUUUUUUUUAACAAACUUGAGCAUACUACUACAUGCACUUCAACAUUUUGAGCCUUUAGUACCACUUCUUAAUUCCCCCAAGCUAAUUCUAUAAAUAUUCUAAAUAAACUGAGUCUAGUGUUUGGGAAAAUUUAAAGAUAAAUAUUGCUUAUUAAUAUAAGAUCCAGAAAAAAAUUAGGCCCUAUAGUCUCAAAGUUGAGUUUCAAUGGAUAAAUAUUCAUUAAGGUUGGCUUGGAAGGUUCAGAUGGUCCAUUUUUUUUUUUUUGCAUAAAUCAUUUUCAAAUUAUCAUGCCUCCUAGGAUUUUGCCUCAAGAAAUUACUAAGUCAAUUCUAGAGACUUAAACUUUCAUGCAUGCUUAGUUUUUCUAAGAAAUUAAAUUUUUCAUGGCUUAACUUAUACAUUUUUAUUAAGACCAACAUUUAUGUCAUAAUUUAGCUAACAUAAAAAUUAUUGAGAUAAUAGAAUUUUAUUUAUAUUAAAUUUUAACAUAACUAAACAAAAUUUUAAAUUUUUUGAACAAAAAUUUAACUUAAUAAUUUGAUAAGAAAAAUAACUUUUUGAAGAAAAAAGAAAAAUUCAAUUUUUGGUCCCCUCUCUUAAAAAUAAAUAAUGUCCUCAUUGUUUGAAAUUAAAAAAGUGAAUGUGAACUAUACACCAGGUAGGAUCCCAGGAAAGGGGGGUGAGUCAAAUUUGACUGCUUAAAUACCAAGCCUUUCCUUAACAGAUCCAAUCUUAAACAUGUAUUGAUGAAUGCCAAAAGUAACAUGUUUUAGCCUCACUGCUAAUGCGUUUUUGGAUGAUUAUUUGAUUUAAAAUGCUGAAUUUUAUGCUUCAAAUCCUUUAAAUUCAUGUUUCUAUACUUAGGAAAGUAUUUUGGAGCAAAAGGAGCAAAUAACAAGCGAAAAUAAAAAAUCGGAGCAAGUUUCAGGAGCCACAUGGGCUGGGCCAUUCCACACAGGCUAGACACAUGGCUAUGUGCCAGAUCUUGUGGAAAUCACAUAUUGCACUCCAAACAUGUAGAAAAAUGCAAUUUUUAGGUUCUUUGGGCAUUCUAAGACCUAUAUAUGACAAAGAUAAGAAGAGAGAAGAGAGCCUUCAUAGGAUACUAAAGAAAACAAAUCAAAAAACACCAUUGAAGUCAACCCUGAAGUUGAUUUUCAUCAAGAUUGAGAUCUCCUCUUAAUUCCUUUGAAGUUUAUUAUGGGUUUUUUUUCUUUCUUGUGGUUAUACUGUAUUUUUGAUGUUUUUAUUUGCGAUUAUAAACUAAUUUUCUAAAUACUUAGGGGAGAUGAGCCCUAUGAUAAUUAUGUUUUUUGAUUUCUAUUUUAUGCAAUAAAUGCUUGAAUCUUGUUUCCAAUUAUGUGUGCUUAAUUCUUGGUUUAAUAUUUCCAGACUAUUAAUCCAUAUUUGAUAUGCUUAAGUCAGAGGGUGAAAAGUCCUUGUUUAAGAGUGAAUCUAGCAUAUUUAAGUGAAGUUGCAUGCAAUUAUAGAAAUAGGAUGACAUAAAUCUAUCAAAUUAGAGUAAAAUCUAAUAAGGGGAUCCAUAGAUCGAGUUAAUGCGACAAUAGGGGUUUUAAUUAGAAAGAAAUUUCAAUUAAUCAACCUAGAGUCAGUUGCUAUUACUCUUAAAAAAGAUAUUAGCAUAAUUUAGGCAUUCCUACGAAUCAAGAUACUAAGUGAAGAAAUUGUUUAAUCCAGUUUGAUACUGACAGAUAAAAUCUAGGUGGAUUCUUUCUUGGGUAUUGUUUCACUUCUUGGUUGUUAAUCAUUUGUUUUCCUAAUUCAUUUUUUGUCGUGUUCUUUAGUUAAUUAAUUUACUUAAUUUUAGUUUUAAUCAGUCUCUUUAAUUUUUCGGUUAAAUAAUAGAAAGACGGUAAUUACUAGUUCUUUUAGUCCUUGUGGGAACGAUAUCUUUACUCACCAUAACUAUACUAUUAAUUGAUAGGUGCACUUGCCAUUGUCAGAUUUUUAGUUGGUUUACGACUGCAAUCAAGUUUUUAGCACUGUUGUCGAGGUCUAAAAUAUUAGGAAAACUUUAUUUUUAUUAAUUUAACCAUUUUUAAUUUUAAUUUUAAUAUUUUUGUUUUUAAUUUAAUUGUUACAUUUUACUUCUUCUUUUGUUUAAUUUUGACAAGUUUUAGAGAUGGAUUAUGAUAAAAAUAAUCAGAAGCUCUUGAACGUCCUACUCCUCGGACUAUGAAUGAUUAUGCCAAGCCUACUCUGAUCGGGGUUGAAUCGAGUAUUUUCAGAUCGAUUGUUAAUGCAAAAAAUUUUGAGAUUAAGCUGAACACAAUUUGUAUGGUGCAGCAAUUUGUUCAGUUUGAAGGGUUGCAAGAUGAAGAUCCGAAUGCUCAUUUAACCAAUUUUCUAGAUAUUUGUGACACUUUCAAGAUUAAUAACAUUAUUGAUGGUGGCAUACAUUUACGGUUGUUCCUAUUCUCUUUGAGGAGCAAGGCAAAAUAGUGGUUAAAUUCAUUGCCACGAGGUUCUAUCACAACUUGGGAUCAGAUUAUCGAGAAUUUUCUGUUGAAGUACUUCCCACCGCUAAAACAACUAAGUUGAGAAAUGAUAUUUCUUCUUGUACUCAAAUUGAUUUGGAGACAUUAUAUGAUGCAUGGGAGAGAUUUAGGGAUCUUUUGAGAAUGUGUCCUCAUCAUGAAUUACAUUUGUGGUUGCAAGUUAAAACUUUCUACAACGGUUUGAAUCUCUCGACUAGGCAAUUAAUUGAUGCAGUAGUUGGUGGAACACUGAAUAAUAAAAAACUCUAGAUAGCUCAAGAAUUCAUUGAGGAAAUGACACUAGAUAACUAUUAGUGGCAAGUCAUGAGAAUGAAAACGAAUAAAGCAACCGGUGUUUUUAAUAUUGAUGCAGUUUCUAUAUUAGCAAAUUAGGUUGAAACUCUUGGUAAGAAAUUUGAUGGUUUGAAUUUUUCUAAGCAGGUGAACCUAGUAAUGCAAUACGAUGAGAAUGGAGCGGGGAUGAUUAAUUCAGAAUGGUUACGCUUCGGUUCUAGCAUGGAGCAUGAGCAAGUCAACUUUAUGGGUAACAAUUCUAGGCCUCAAAAUAACCUUUAUAGCAACAACUAUAAUGCAGGUUGGAGGAACUAUCCAAAUUUCUCUUGGGGUGGUCAAGGAAAUCAAAGGUCACAACGCUUUGGAUUUUCAGCAACCUUAUCAUCAAGAGAAUAAAUUGAACCUUAAGGAAAUGUUGGCUAAAUUUAUUUCGAUGUUAGAAACUCGAUUUCAAAACACUGAAACAACACUAAAAAAUCAACAAGCAUCAAUUCAUGGGCUUGAAAAUCAAAUUGGACAGCUUGUUAAACUUGUUUCAGAAAUACCACAAGGUAGCUUACUUAGCAAAUUGAAACUAACCUAGAAGAAGAAAUCCAUGCAAUCAUUGUUCGCAAUGUGUAACGCCCCAAAUUUCUUAUGUCAGCUUCUGUAAAAAUUUUGACACAACUGUGCAUCUGCUUCAGUGGUUAAGUGUUCUGGAUGUGUGUGAGAGGUCUUGGGUUCAAGCCUUACCUUUAGCAAAUUUUGUUAUUUUUUUUUAAAAUUAGGCCUUACUCUUGGUAAGUGGUUUUAUUUUUAAUUGUUGCUAUUGGGUGUCAGAAUGGACAUGCUAUCGAUGUAAGCCAAAAAACACUGUAUGAGCCACACGGGCUAGGCCAGAUUGGACGUGUAGGCCCAUAUGGGCACACCACACGGACGUGUGAUAACUGGGCAAGGCCAAUCUGGGCGUGUGGGCCCAUUAGACUGAAAUUUUUCGUUGGGUCACACUGGUCAUCGUAAUCGACUGUGGGCCUAUCGUAGGGUUGGUAAAUGCAAUCUAACCUUAUAACCAAAUGAUUUAUUAGACUGAAAUAUGUUUAUGAGCAUGCCUAUGUUUGUUUAUCUGUUAUCUAUUUAUGAAAGCAUGUUAACCAUGAUUUAUCUGUUAAUUUUGUAUGCGUGUUCUGUUACUGAAUUGGGGUGGGAUGAUGUAUAUAGGAGGAAGUGUUCUGAAAGGUAGAAUAUGCCUAAUAUCUGGCAGCUCGGCUGCAUUAUAUCUGAUAUGUGUCGUAUCGGUACAGCGUGGUGUGUAAGGUUGAGUGGGUGUUUUAAACCCCACAUAGUGGUAGGGAUGGUCGGAGAUGGUGUGUAAAAGAUGGCGGUAGGAUUCUGAUAUCUAAUUUGCAUAUCUAUAACUGUGUCUGCAUCUGAAAUGGGCUCAGGCCCAAAUCUGUAUCUGCAUCUGACAUGGGCCCGUGCCCGAAUAUGAAUCUGUCUGAUUUGUGGUAUUCUGUAUGUGUACAUGUUUAACUCUGCUGGGUUACACACUGAGUUUACGUAAACUUACCCAUUUUCUGUUUGUCUGUGCAGGUAACCCACAAUAUUAUGUGGAUCGGUACAGCGGAGGACUUAAAAGUGACCACUUAUUUUUACGAUUUUAUUUUAUUUUAUGGUUAUGAAGUUUUGGCAUUGAGGUUGUAUUUUCUGGACUCUUUUAAAUUGUUUGACGUUGGCUUUGGAUUUUUGGUUUUUACUUAUUUACAACUAUGAUGGUUUACCAAAGGCAAAGGUUUUCUAAAAUCUUGAAUAGAUUUUCUAGACCCAAUGAUUUUACAAGCUUCCGCUACUAAUACGUUUUAUCUCUUAAUGAUUAAAUGAAAGAAAGCUUUGAAAUUAAUAAUAGCAAUAAAGGCUAAUGAACUGGAAAGGUUUUAACUUAACGAUAAUGGUUUUUCAACUCAUUUCAUGUGAGACUUUAGGAUUCGGCCAUAACGUCUAGGCCGAGUUUGGGUGUUACAUAUAGUGGUAUCAAAGCCAGGUUACAAAACUCGACUGUAGAAUUUGGGUUUUCGAAAUUUGGUUUUAAAAAAUUGGUUUUUUGAAUGAUUUUUAAAACUCUGGUGAAGUGUGAGGUAUACUGAGUCUCUGGCGCCGAUCCUGCAAGUAAUUUGAAACUUAGAUAGAUUAUUCUGAAAUAAUGAAUAUAGUUAUUUUAAAAACACUAUAGUUAGUACUCUCUGAAACUGUAGUGAAACGAAUAAAGACUGAAACUUACGAAAAUCUUACUGAACUUCUGAUAUUUAUUACAUAAAAUAUUUGCUUAUAAAAACUGAAACUGAUGCAUAAAAUUAUUAAUGUAGAUAAACUUAGAACUUACAAUGAGCGCACGAGGUAUCUGUGGACGUGGUACUCAAAGCUGAGGUAGAGGCCGUAAGGGAGCUCUAGCUGAGUCUUCACAUCUGGGCAGUACGCCGAAUCUGGACACUAGUGAGACACCUGUGUCACUUGCUACUGAGAUUAGGUCUCAGAGUUGUUCGGUUGGGGAUGACGUACUGUCUCAAGCCAUGCUGAGGAUAUUAGAGAGGGUCGCUAGACCUAAUUCUAGAUCUGGAGGACAAAGGGCAGUAACUGAGGGGCUCCAGUCUAAUGGAGCUGAGUUAUUUAGGGGUGUCACAAGAGUUGCCCCUAAUGUGGCUGAGUUGGAGGCCACUAAAAGGAUUAUGGAUGACUUAGACUGUACUCUCGAGUAGAAAUUGAAGAGUUCAGUCUUCUUGCUUCUCGAUGAGGCAUAUUAGUGGUAGUCGACUGUUAAGGAAGGCACUCAACCUGAUCGUCUGACUUGGGAAUUCUUUAAGACCACAUUCCAGAGCAAGUAUGUAGAAGCUAGCUACGUCGAUACUUGUAGGUGUGAGUUCCUAAACCUCACACAAGGUAAUCGAUCUGUGGUUGAGUAUGAGGUCAAAUUUUUAAGGCUGAGCCGCUACGCUCGAGGCGUGGUAGUGUCCGAGUAUGAAAGGUGUGUUAGGUUUAAGGACAGCCUAAGGGAUAAUCUAAGGGUUCUGAUUACUCCGUAGAGGGAGUGUAAGUUUUCUGUUUUGGCAGAGAAGGUAAAGAUUGUCGAGGAUGUUAAGCGCGCAGAGCUCCAAAAUAGAAAUAGGAAGAGAGAUAAGAACAAGAGGGAUUUGAAGCCCUCGUGUUCUGUGCAGCGGCCUAAGAAAAAGGCCAGAUUUGAUGGGCCAGUUAUAGUGUGAGGCCCUGUUGCCUCUACUAGGUUGCUGCCUUAUGAAAAUUAUGGGAGAUGCCAUCCGGGCGAAUGCUAGAGGAGGAUUGGGGCGUGUUUGAGGUUUGGGUUUUUUGAGCACUGUAUCAGGGAGUGUCUGCAGCAGGUAGAUUAGACGCAAGCUCCGGAUCAUGUACAACCGUCGAGGGUAGUUCAGCAGCCACCUAGGGGUCGUGGAGCAAUUAGGGUGGUAACGGUUUGGGCUGAGGGAAGAGAGCACCGGGCUGAGACUCUAAUUAGACAGAGGCGAUGUAGCCUACUUUGGUUUAUGCUGCAUAUCGCCUAGAGGACAGAGAUACUCCUGACGUCAUCACUAGUACAUUUCUUGUAUUUGAUUAACCUUACUUUUCUCUGGUAGACAUAGGAUCUACUUAUUCCUAUAUGGUUUGUUCUAUUUCCGAAAAUUUGGGGCUAUCGAUUGAGAGUACUUCUAGUGAGGCUACUGUGAUAAGUCUGUUAGGGCAGUCAAUUUAGGUUAGUAAAUUGUAUAAGGAUGUCCUGUUAGAGGUGCAAGGGGAGAUAUUUCUGGCUAAUUUGAUGGAGCCUCUGUUUAGGGAGUUCGACCUAAUUCUGGGUAUGGACUGGUUGGUUAAACACCAAGUUAUUUUAGACUGUGUGGCUAAAAUAAUCGUUCUGAGGACUGAGGUGAUAGAGAAGUGAUGGUAAUCAGCGAGCAUCGAAAUUAUUUGUCUAACGUAAUCUCUGUGCUUAUGGCUGAGAAACUGGUCCAGAAAGGAUGUGAGGCAUACUUGACCUAUGUAAGUGUUUCAGAUUCUGGGGACUCUUCUAUUGGGAACAUCAGAACAGUAAAAGACUUUCUAGACGUCUUUCUUGAGGAGUUUAUAGGAUUACCACCGAAUUGAAAAGUGGAAUUUGGGAUUGAGCUUCUUCCGGAUACAACAUCGGUGUUCAUUGCUCGCUACCGUAUUGUACGGAAAGAGCUUACUGAGCUCAAGGCUCAACUACAAGAACUUCUAGACCAUGGCUUCAUCCGUUCUCGUGUCUCUGUGGGGAGCACUAGUACUGUUUGUUAAGAAGAAUGAUGAGACCAUGAGUAUGUACAUAGGUUAUCGGUAGUUGAACAAGCUGACCAUUAAGAAUAAGUAUCCACUUCUAAGGAUCGAUGACUUAUUCGAUCAAUUUCGAGGGGCUUCUGUGUUCUCUAAGAUCGAUCUCUGUUCAAGGUAUCAUUAGUUAGGGUUAAGGAGGCUGAUGUUCAUAAGACCGCAUUUAGGACUCGUUAUGGACAUUAAGAGUUCCUAGUUAUGCCUUUUGGUUUGACGAACGCUCCGGCUGUGUUCAUGGAUAUGAUGAAUCGAGUAUUUCAAUCCUAUCUGGAUUAGUUCGUCGUGGUAUUCAUUGAUGAUAUUCUGGUUUACUCUAAGAUCGAAGAUGAGCAUGACGUACAUCUUAUAGUAGUGCUUCAAGUUCUAUGUGAAAAGUAGCUCUGCUAAAUUCAGCAAGUACGAAUUCUGGCUACGUGAAAGUGACUUUUUUGGGGUACGUAGUUUCUACUGAAGGUAUUCAAGUUGAUCCUUGAAAGAUCAACGCUAUGUUGGAUUGGAAGCAACCCAAGAAUGUGUCUGAAAUCCGUAAUUUUUUGGGUCUGGCCGAUUAUUAUCGGUAUUUUGUGGAGGGUUUCUCCUUGAUCGUUGCUCCAUUGACUAAGCUACUGCGUAAGGGGGUUCCAUUUGUUUGGACAUGUUGAUACGUGAUAUUCGUGAUAGGUUUUAAAUAUUUAUAACAAAUUGUUCUUAAAACUAACUAUUAUCACGAUGAAGGCAAGUGUACCUAUCGAACAGUAGUAUAGCUUUAGCAAGACUGGUUUAUCGAACCCAAAGGAACUAAAAGUACUAGUAUUAACUUCCUUUUUAUUAUCUAGCCUAAGAAUAAUGAGGUUAGUUUUAACUAACUAAUUAACUAAACUGAGAAUUCAUAGAAAAUAAAAUUGGGGAAUUACUUUUGGAAAAACAAUUGAAUUAAGACAAUACCUAAGGAAAAAAUCCACCUAGACUUCACUUGUUAUUUGACUCUGAAUCGAAUGAUUUAUUCAUUCAACUUGUUCCAUAGAGAUCCCUAAGUUAUAUUAUUAUCUCUCUCGAGACUAACAACGUCUAACCCUAGUUUGAAUAAUUGAAAUCUCUUUCUAAUUAACGCCCUAGGGUUGCAUUAACUCGACCUAUGGAUCCCCUUAUUAGGUUUCACCCUAAUCCGGUAAAAUCUUGUCGCCCUAUCUCUAGGUGCACAACCAACUCCACUUAAUUAUGACAAAUUUACUCUUAGACAAGGUCUAUUCCUCCUCUGAAUAAGAGCUUAACUUGUAAUGCCCUAAUUUUCGGGAAUUCUGUGAAUGUUGGCAUAGGUUUAAUUAUGUCAGUGAGCCUCUAGAAGGCCCAAGCUUAAGAUAGAACCCGACAAUUUUAGUUAAUUUUUGUUCUAUAAGAAAAAGGGGGUGAAAUUAUGAAAUAGAACCUAUAUGAAAAUGUUUGAAAAUGCUAUCGGCUAAAUUGAAGUGGCCAAAUAAAUAGGAGUGCAAAAUAGGAGAAUUUACAUGACAAACCUCCCAUUUUACAUGAAGUGGCCAGCCAUCAUGUUGUUGUAGACAAUAUGAGCACUUGAUAUCCAUAAUUCAUGGUACAAAUUGAUAAUGGGUUAGGUAAAUGUUCCAUGAUAAUGGAUUAGGUAAAUAUUCCAUGAUAAUGGGUUAGGUAAAUGUUCCAUGAUAAUGGUUUAGGUAAAUGUUCCAUAAUGGGCAUUUCAUGUCUUUUGUAUUAAAGAAUUAAAUGGAUGAAAUAUGAAAUUUUAUUAAAAGAAAAAGGGGUGAAAAGAACAAAGUUUUGUUCAUCUUUGUUCAUCAUAGCCAAAAGUUAGAGAAGAGAAAGGAGAGGAGAAAGCUCUUGAAUGUUAGGUCACUUGGGGAAGAAAAUUGAAGGUAAGUUCAUGGUAGUUUGCUUCUAUCUUGAUGUUCAUGAGUUCUUCUUGAUUCUACCUUAACUCUUGAAGCAUAUUUUAGUUUUUAGUUGUGUUGUAAGCAUUUAGUCAUGAAUUAAAAUGAAGGAAAUGGUUGUUGUUUCAUGUUCUUUUGAUGAAAAAUGGAAGAUAUGUGAAGUUGAGCCAAACAAAUGAGCAUGCAUGUGCCUUAGAUGCUAAGGGGAAAAAUCGGCUAACCUGUUGUGCUUUAAAAUGAUGAAAUGGAGAUUAUACUUAAGUAAAAUCAUAGAUAUGUGAUGAUUGAUUGGUGAUAUACAUGUUUAAAUAACAUGCAUGCAAGGGAUGUGUGAAAGAGUGAUUUGGUAAUAAAUCUGCUUGGGACAACAGCAGUAACGUGAAUUUGGAAAAUCACCAUAAAUUGUGGGAGAUGAAUUAGAAGCUGAAUAAAUUAUGUAAUUAAAGCUUAUUGAGUCUAGUUUUAAAUGAAAUAAACAAGAACAUAUUUUUAAUUCUGUACAAUGAGAAAUUUGAUUUGUAAUGAAGAGUGGUCAGAUUAGUCAAACAGUGAAACAUGGGAAACUUUAAGAAAAAUAUAGUAUUGAUUGGCCAUACCAAAAAUUCUAAAAAUUUUAUGGAUAGAAGAUAUAUGAGUCUAUUUUCAGGGAAAAUUAAUGGCACUUGAUUUGGAGUUUUGUAGCUCCAGUUAUAAAUGAUUUAGUGACUGUUGCUCAGGAAGACAGCUUGCAGUGAAAUUAUGAUUAUGUGGUAAACAUUGACAAAUUUGUUAAUGAGUUGCAUAUUGAUUUCUUAUAAGCUUACUCUGAUCUGUAGGUGUGAUUGGCCGAAUAUUGUAAGGGGUUAAUACGUAGCUCGUAUUUGAAUAGUUAGAUUAACGUGUUAGUAAUUCAAUUGUAGGCAGUUCGUGUGUGGAUCUCGUCAGCAUAUCGUCGCAAACAUGUGUGUAACUGACACUCUCUCAUAGACUAGAUUGGCAAAAGUCGAAAAGCCGAAAUACCGAAAAGUCAGUAUUUUGGAAAUUUGCGAGUGUGCGAAUGCUCGUAAGAUAGUUGGGUUUGUAUAUUUGGUAAUCUAAAGUAAUAAACUGCAGUACGCGUGAUUUCGUACAUUUUGAUAAUUUGGGCUUAAUGGGCCAAAGAUCGGGUUCAUGGGCCAACGAGCCCAAUUCGGUAAGUAUGCGCGGUAAGUGUUCUGAUAGUACGUAAAUAGUUAGUAUAUGCAUGAAAACCCUAAAAGUAGCAAAAUUACUAUAAUACCCCUAUGUAUGGAAAAUUAUUGUUAUACCCCUAGGUGCAAAAUUACCAUUAUACCCCUAGGGUUAAUUUUGACUGAAAAGCAUGACGAUCUGAUUCUGUAUAAUGUAUGUCAUGAUUAUAUAUCUGUUGCAUGGGGACAUGGAUUAUGUUAUGAAGGAAGCGUCCUGGUGGCUAUGCCACAAUUAUCUGAUCUGGUGGCUCUGCCACAUAUAUUUGUUCUAGUGGCUAUGCCAUGAUUAUCUGAUCUGGUGGCUCUGCCACAUAUAUCUGUUCUGGUGGCUAUGCCACGAUUAUCUGAUCUGGUGGCUCUGCCACAUAUAUCUGUUCUGGUGGCUCUGCCACAAUAUCUGUAUCUGGUGACUUCGUCACAAUAUCUGGCAGCCUCGCUGCGAUUUCUAUAGUGUGUAGCGGUUGGGUGGGUCGAGUAGUCUCCUCACAUGGUGUAAGGCUGGUACGGGGGUGUUAUGGAUGAAUUUGGGUUGGGUUGGGUUUCUGCAUAAACAUGUAAUAUCUGUUCUGUUCUGUUAUGGGCCUAUGGGCUUUAUUUUGAAUUUCUGUUUUGGGCUAAGGCCAACUUAUUCUAUUUCUGUGGUUUGAGCUGAUAUAGGCUAUGGUUGGGUUAAUUUACACACUGAGUUUCCCCAAACUCACCCCUUUUAUUUUUAUCCACGCAAGUAAUCCCCAACCAUAGUGGGCUUGGAGCUGUGAGGGAAUUCGGAGUGGCCACCCGUUCUGAAAGUUUGAUUUUCUUCUGGUGAAUUGGACAUCCUUUUAUUUAUGUUUAAAGUUUUGAGUUUUUAAAUGUAAUAAGACCGCUUAAUUAUUUUUGAUGGUUUUAAUAUGUAUUACUAAGAUAGGUAUUACUUAUUUUAACUGUUGAAAUUGGAUAGCUUUAGGGCGCGUUUUCAAAAACAAUUGAUUUCAAAAUAACACGACAACAAGCAAAGCUUCCGCAAUGAAAGUAUUUUCCAAAAUUAAUCACUUUUCCUAAAAAGAACAUAAUCAAAUCGGUUUCCUAGAAAUAUCUAUGACGUUAAGGUGUGGCAAUAGCGGUAUGCAUGUCUAGGAUUGGAUCCGAAGGGAGCUUGGUACUUAAGCAGUCCGAUGGACUCACCACCUCUUUUCCGAUUUUCUACCUGGUGCACAGCUUCCAUUCACUUUAACCUAUAAUGAAAUUACCUUUUAAAACACUAAGUUUUUCUGGAUCAACAAUAUAAAAUGUUUUGAACGUUUCGAUGUGGCAUGUCGGAUCCGGUCAUAAUGUCUGGGUCGGGUUUGGGGUGCUACAUAACUUGAAUCAAUAUCCUGGACUAUCAAAACAAGAAUUAAGAACACACAAUUAAGAACAAGUCAAAUAUUUAUGAUACAAUUCAGAUAAUAAUAACAAGAUCCGUCUUAGGCUUCAUCCCCCUUAGGUAUUUAGGGGUUUUAGUUCAUAACUAAAAAGGUAAACAUCUCAGAAGAAUAAUUAAUACAAAACAUAAAGAAAAACCCAAAACUCCUGAAGGGAAAUUGAGGGGAGAUUUUCAGUCUUGAUGAUGAAUCCGACUUUUAAGAUGGAUCAAUCGGCUUUCCUUGAGUAGUUCCCUGCUUCCUCCUCUAUGGCCCCUUUUCCCUCAUCCUCUAGGGUAUAUUUAUAAGCUUUAGAAUGCCUAAGAACCCUCAAAAUUGGCCUUUUCCAAAUUGGACUAAACUUGGGCUCGGCAGGGACACGCCCUGUGCAAUUACUUCAGGCCGUGGUCAAACCUGUUAAAUAGACAUGGGCGUGUGGUCUACCCGUGUGAGUUGUGCUUCGAUUCUAGCAAAUUGACACGGCCGUGUGGUCUGCCUGUGUGAGGAAGCCUGGGCCGUGUUGAUUUUGUACGUUGGCCUAUUUUCUCCAUUUUUAGCUCGUUUCUCGUUCCUUUCACUGUCCUAUGCUCACUUAAGUAAAAAACAUGAAUUUAAGGCAUUAGGAGCAUCGAAUUCACCAAUUUUAAGGAAAAAUCAUCCAUAAAAUGUACUAAGCAUGGGAUAAAAAUAUGUAUGAAUUACGGUUUAUCACAUAUGCACAACAAUCGAGCUUCGAGAAGCUCAGGACUGUUUUGACUCAAGCUCCUGUUCUAAUAUAGCCUGAAUUUGGUGAGGAGUUUGUGGUAUACAGUGAUGCAUCACAUGUUGGUUUGGGAUGUGUGUUGAUGCAGGAGGGGAAAGUUGUGGCCUAUGCAUCCCGAAUGCUUAAGAUGCAUGAGGCAAAUUAUCCGACGCAUGAUCUCGUACUGUCUGUGGUGGUUUUUGCAUUAAAGAUCUAUAGACAGUAUCUGUACGAGGAGAGGUGUAUUGUCUACACUGAUCAAAAGAGCUUCAAGUACCUCUUUACUUAGAAAGAGUUGAAUCUUAAGCAGCACCGUUGGAUUGAGUUGCUCAAAGAUUAUGACUACAUAAUAGAGUAUCACCCUGGUAAGGCCAAUGUAAUGACUAAUGCUCUAAGUCGUAGAGCGAUGUUCGCUCGCCUUAGUUUGUUUGAUUAUGGGGGUCUGUUAGCUGAGUUGCAAGUUAAGCCAACUUGGAUUGAUUAGAUUCAAGUUAAGCAGUUGGAGGAUGAGUCUCUGGGUGUGCAGUUUCGACAGAUUGAGAGUGGUGGUACUUUAGAUUUUGGGCUGAAUAAAGAUAUAUGUUUCCGAGGUUGAAUUUAUGUGCCAAAGGAUGUGGAUUUGAGGUAGUCGAUAUUGAGGGAGGCGCAUAGUAGUCCUUAUGCUAUGCAUCCUGGCAGUAAUAAGAUGUAUCACGACCUUUGCAAGUUGUAGUGGUGGCCCAGUUUGAAGCAUGAGGUUAUUGACUUCGUGGCUCGAUGUCUGACGUGCCAACAGGUUAAGGCUAAGCACCAGUUACCUUUGGCUUUAUUGCAGCCAGUCAAGAUUCCCUUAUGGAAAUUGGAACGUGUGAUGAUGGACUUUGUUAGUGGGUUUCCCUUAACACCCACUAGGAAGAAUUCUGUUUGGGUCAUCGUGGAUCAGUUGACCAAGUCUGCUCACUUCAUUCUAGUUCAGACGGACUUUUCUCUUCAGAAGUUGGCGAAGCUGUAUACCUCUGAGAUAGUUAGACUGCAUGGGGUUCUGGUAUCGAUUAUUUCCGACAGAGAUCCUCGUUUUACAUCAUGGUUCUAGAAGUUGCAUGAAGCUUUGGGUUCUAGAUUGGACUUUAGUACUGCGUUUCAUCCUCAUACAGAUGGCCAAUUCGAGAGGGUGAUUUAGAUUCUAGAGGAUAUGCUUAGGAGUUGUGUGAAUGAUUUCCACGGUAGUUGGGAGGAUUAUCUGCUGCUGGCUGAGUUCACCUAUAAUAAUAGUUUCCAGGCCAAUAUUCAGAUGACACCUUAUGAGGCUUUGUAUAGUCGUAAGUGUCGUACUCUAUUGUGUUGAAUUGAGUUAGGCGAAUGUCAAGUUUUGGGUCUUGAGUUGGUUUUCGAGAUGGAGGAUAAGGUUAAACUGAUUUGGGAUCGUCUGAAAACGGCUUCUGAUAGAUUUGAAGAGUUAUGAGAUUGAGUAUUCUGUGGAGGGCUUUGUAUUUCUUAAGGUUUCUCCAUGGAAGAAGAUAUUGAGGUUCGACCGUAAGGGUAAGCUAAUCCCUAGAUUUAUUGGGCCGUACCAAAUUUUGAAACGUGUGGGACCAGGUGCCUAUCAGUUGGAGUUACCCCUGAACUAGACCGUAUCCAUGAUGUUUUUCACGUUUCGAUGUUGAGACGGUACCAAUCUGACCCAUCUCAUAUUGUCUCGGUUGAAGAGAUUGAAGUUAGGCCAAACUUGACCUUUGAGAAGGGGUCGAUUCAAAUCUUAGAUCGAGAUGUUAAGGUUCUAUGGAAAAAGUCCAUUCCAUUAGUGAAGGUGUUGUGGUGGAAUUAUAGCACUAAGGAGGCCAUGUGAAAACCUGAGGACUCAAUGCAUCAGUAAUAUCAUCUAUUCUGAUCAGGUAAAUUUCAAGGUCGAAAGUUCUUUUAGAAGGUAAAUUUGUAAUGCCCCAAAUUUCUUAUGUCUACUUCUGUAAAAAUUUUGACACAAUUGUGUAUCUGCUUCGAUGGUUAAGUGUUCUAGGUGUGUGUGAGAAGUCUUAGGUUCAAGCCUUACCUUUAGCAAUUUUUGUUAUUUUUUUGGAAUUAGGCCUUACCCUUGGUGAGUGGGUUUAUUUUUAAUUGUUGCUAUUGGAUGUUAGAAUGGGCCUGCUGGUCUGGUGGUUAGGUGGAGUGUGGGUUUGCUGGAGGUCCUGUGUUUGAGUCUUUACGCAGGCGUGAUUGCUAAUAUUUUUUGCUCUAUUGGUUUGUACAGUUUCGAUUGAACGAUAAGUCUGAGUAGUGGUUGUUAGUGCGAUUAGUGAAGAGAUUUGAAGGAUGUGGAGUUAUGGGAAUUAUCCUUAUUGUUUUUUUCUUUUCUUUUUUUGAAAAUCUCUCUUUCUAAAGUUUUGUUUUCCUCAGCACUCCGCCGAAAUUCCUUUGAAACUUCUCUUUUUUCCUUUUCCUUUUGCUUCCCUAAGUCAUCUUUUCUUUUAGCAACGUGAAUUGCAAUGGUGAGGGUUUUGUGGAUACGUACUCCAGCGUAUACUUGCUGAGUUUCACAAACUCCCGCUCAUACUCUGUCACAGUCUUAUUACAUUGCUUCAACUCUAGGAAUUCCUUUCUUUUCUAGUCCAUAAACCUCUGGCUAAUGUACUUCUUUCGGAACUCUCCUUGGAAAAAUUCCCAAGUUACUCUUUCUUUCGGUAUUACAGACAUGAGAGUGCUCCACUACUGAUAAGUUGAGUAUCGUAGAAGUGAUACAGCACACUUCACGCAUUCUUCAGGUGUGCAUGACAGUUCAUCGAAUACCCUCAUGGUAUUCUCUAGCCAAAACUUCACUGUCUCUUGGUCAUCAUCUACACUAGCCCGAAAUUCCUCGGCCCCUUGCUUCUGGAUCUUGUCUACCGGAGGCUUCUCUCAUCUGAACACAUAUGCACCUUGCGGAGCCAUCGGGGCAUAUUGAGGAAUCGGAGGAGGUGGGGGAGGUGGAGUGUUCGGGUUCGCACGAACAGACUCCAUAUACCAAGCAUCUAUCAUUCGGAGGUAGGCUUCCCUAGCCUUUCUGUCUUGGCCCAUACUUAUGGGCUCACUCUCAAUCGACGCGGUCCCUUCUGCGGGAGCUGGUGCAUUACUUUCUACGUCAUCUACCGUGGUUCUAUCAGGACCAAUUACUAUAAUAAAAACAAUUUAUAAUCGUCAAGAAUCGUCACACUAUCAAUAUGCAUAUACGUGGCAUGUAUAGCUAGACUCGUACUCUCACUAGUUUAGUCCUAGAAUCGACUAAACCAUGCUCUGAUACCACCAAAUGUAACACCCCUCACCCGUAUCCGACACUAGGAUAGGGUUCGUGGUGCUACCUGACUUAAACUCAAUCAACUGUAUAAAACUGGGCCAUGAAAUUUCAAACAAUUUAAAAACUUCUCCUUUCACAAGCAACUAUCUCAUAUAUGGGCUUACGAGGCCCAAUCAUAAAUCCAGGGUUGUUUGCAACCCAACCGAGACCUCAUGAAAACUUAGAAAAUUUUUAUGCAUCAAGACUCUACACGCCCGUGUAGGUAUAGAACACACGACCAUGUGUCAGGGACACGCCCGUGUCUCGAACCCGUGUUUGAAAUCAUAAGCAUUCUGCCAAAACCACACAGCCCUCGAACACACCCGUGCCCUAUAAUCGUGUCCUUCACACGGUCGAUACACAUGACCGUGUCUCUUGUCCGUGUGCUACAAACAUGCAUACAGACUUUAUGACACGGCCUGAGUACACGCUAGUGUGGCCUACCCAUGUGCUAAAAUGAAUUUAAAAAAUUUAAGUGUAGGGGACGCACGGCCAUAACACACGCCCAUGGGUGUGAGCCAUGUGUCACACACGGCCUAGACACACGCCCGUAUGUCUUACCCGUGUGGACAAACUAGGCUAUUUCCCAAGCCCUUUUGUCACCCAUUUUACAAAACCUACACAAGAUCGAUUCAAUACAUAUAUCUCAUCACAAUGGGCACUAAUUCAUCCAUAGAAAUAACAUUAUAUGCAUUCAUCAAAAUGAAUAAUAGCCAUUAUUCCAGGCUUGAUUACAAAAUGAAGGGCCUUUGACUUAAGCCAAAAUACAUGAACUAUUCUCUUAAUACAACAUCCUAGUCUAGCCCUAUACAUGCCACCAUAAAAAAUAUAAAUCCAACUAUACCGGGUAUUGCGGCUGAUAGUGUGAUCGAUAUCUCUGACUUUAAGGGUGAUAAAUGCCAAAUUAUACAUAUUUUUACCCCAAAUACUUAGCAUAUUUAUGGAUGUUUAUUACUAGAUUUGUGAAUUUUGAUGCUCUUAAUCCAGUUAUUUCAUGUUUUGUACUCAAGAGAGCACCAAAAGUCAAAAGGAGCCAAAAACGAGUAAAAAAGGGACGAAACAGACCAAAUCGAGAAGAUGACACGGCCUAAGCCUUGCCACAUGGGCAGCUCACACGCCCGUGUCUUUUGAGGGUGUCGACCAAAGCUUUCAAGAUUCACACGGUUUGGCCAUUGACCCACACGGCUGUGUACAAUUUAACGGAUCGAACACGGCCUGAUAAUCACAUCACACAGUCGUGGCACACGGGCGUGUCCCUUUUUCAAGGAGCUGUAUUUUACACAGAAAAAGAUACUUAGGGAGGAAGAAAACCAAUCCAAAGCCUAUAUAAACACCCUAAGUAUGACUUAGAAAGGGGGUCCCCUUUAGAACUUUUUUGGAGUACAAAGCCACACGCCGAGAAUUACUUGAAGGAUGCCAGACGAUCCAUCCCAAAAGCUGGAGCUACUCCAAGACUGAAGAUCUCUCUCAGAAUUCCUUCAGGGGUUUUAGAGUUUUUUUAUGUUUUGUUAUUUUCAUACUUUUGAGAUGUACUCUUAUUUUAUUAUGAACUAAACCCCUUAGAUACCUAAGGGGGUUGAAACCUAUGAUGGAUCUUGUUAUUAUUAUCUGAACUGUCUGAUAAAUACUUGAUUUGUUCUUAAUUAUGUGUCCUUAAUGCUUGAGUUAAUAUUUCGGGUAUUGAUUCGUGAUUUGAUGUGCUUAUGCAGAGGAGCAAAAGUCCCUGUCUAAGGUAGAUUUGGCAUAAUUAAGCGGAGUUGAUCGAACGCCUAAAAAUAGGGUUACAAGAUUUUACCGGAUUAGGGUGAAACCUAAUAUGGGAGUCCAUAGAUCGAUUUACUGCUUCCCUAGGGGUUUUAAUUAAAAAAGAGAUUUCAAUUGAUUCAACUGAGGGUUAGACAUUAUUAGUCUCGAAAGAGAUAAUAAUAUAGGUUAGGGAGUCUCACGGAUCAAGUGAAGUGAAUAAAUCGUCUUGUUCAGAGUCAGAUAAUAAGUGAAAUUUAAGUGGAUUCCUUCUUGGGUUUCUUUAUCAAUUACUUUUCUUCAAGUCUUUUUCCAAAUUUUCUCUUUGCUUUAGUUUAAUUAGUUAAUUAUUUUAGUUAAUUAGUUUAAUAAACAACCCCUCUUUAUUUCUAGGUUAACUAAUAAAAAAGAUAGUUAUUACUAGUACUUUUGGUUCCCUUGGGUAAGAUAUCCCAGUCUUGCCAUACUAUAAUAUUGUUUGAUAGGUGCGCUUGACUUUUCGUCGUGAUAAUAAUUAGUCUAGGUUUGAUCUUCAUUAUAAAUAUUUAUUACUUGUUACGAAUCACGCGAUCAAAGGAUCCUUAAGUUAGCUUGAUAACACUGAAAGAAGAGGGAAAUGAAAGAGGGUAAGCGUAAAGCUUAAUAAGUAGCAUAUAAAUAAAUAUACAACAACAAUCUCACCAUUAGUCAUCGUACUUAUAGCUCAAAGGUAAACAUAAUUUAACUUAUUCAUUAUCAUCUACUCGAGUCACAUUCUCUAAAUUAAGCUCGUUACUCAUGCUUACCAUAUAGGUACCUGUACCAUUCACAACAUGAUUAUUCUUUCUUUAUCAAAAUUGAUCUACAACUCUCAUCAUUGAAACGUUUGGAAUACUACUGGAUAUUCUAUGAACCUUCAACAUGGGAUAUAUUACCGAUACCAUGUCUCAGGCAUGGUCUUGCACUAGCACUCAUCUUUGUGCCGAUGCCAUGUCCCAGACAUGGUCUUACAUUGGCUAUCAUAGUAUGGCUGAUACAUGUCCCAGACAUGUCUUACACUAGCCCUCGUCUGGAUGUCGAUGCUAUGUCCUAGACAUGGUCUUACACUGGCUCUCAUAAUAUGGCCGAAGCAUGUCCUAGACAUGUCUUACACUGGCGCACAAAUCACCCAAUGCCUCGGCACGAAUAUCCAGUUCGUAUUCUAAUGUUUCAACGGGAUAUUUCUAUUAUCUCAAUUAUUCCUAGGCAUUCUCAAUUCAUAACUUGACAACUCAUACAAUAUCAAUUCAAUGGCGAUAUGAAUACAAGUAUUAACAGUGUAGUUGUAUCAUUUACAUACAACUUACCUCGGUUCACAAAAAGUACUCGACUAUUCGGUUUAGUCGGUUUGCUUGGCAUUCCCCCGAUCUAGGUUCAGAUUUGGUAAUUCUUGAUCUAUAAUGAUAAUAUGCACUCAUUUAGUCACUAAUUAGGAUUAAUAAAUCAGAAAUUUACAUAUUUGGUAAAAUGACCAUUUUUCCUCUAGACUUUAGCAAAAUGACCAUUUUACCCCUAUGCCCGAAAAUCUAUUUUCAUCGAAUUUCGUUGUAUCUUAGGCCUAAUCGAACUAUUUUUACUAUUAUAGCAACUUCAAAUUAUCACUAUUUCACAUACUUAUUAACUAUUUUACAACUUAUGCAAAAUAGCCCCUUUAGGUGUUUUCAUGCUAACACCUUUUACAAAAGUUGUUUAUAACACAACUAGGACUCAUAUUCCUCCAUAAAAACUCAAUAAAAAUUACAAAUCCUUUCAUGGCAACACUCUAAACUCUCGAACAUUUUGCAAGAUAUCACCCUCAUUUGAAAACUCAUGCUUUAAAGGUAUCAAAAAUGCAAAAAUCAUCAACAAAGGGUGUGUGAAUCACUUACUUGUGAGGGCUUUUAGUUGCUAAAAAUUUUUAGCCUUCAAAACUCUAUUUUUAUUGAUAUUUUUGGUGGAGAAGAGAGAUGGAGAAGAAAGAAAUGAUAGCUAGGCUUUUAGGCAUUAUUUUAUCAGUAAAUCAUGACAUCAUCCACCUAACCCUUUGACUAUUUGCUUAAAACCCAUCACAUGGCCGGCCAACACUAAUAAAAAGGAUGUAAUUUCCCUUUAAAAGCCCUAAAUUUAAGUUCUUUAGCUAUUUAACUCAUUUGGGUACUAAAAUGUAACUUUUUCCUUUUAUCCGAUUUAGUCCUUUUUCGAAAUUGGGCUAGAAAACAUUAAAAUUAGCUCACCAAAUUUUUCAUGCACUAAUAAAAUCAUACUAUAACCUCAUAAAAAUAAUAAAAUAAUUUUUUUCUAACUUCGUAUUUGUGGUCCUUAGACCACUGUUCCUAUUAGGCCCUAAAUCAGGCUGUUACAGUAUGGGCCACAUGGUCACGUUACAUGGGCAUGUGAUAACUGGGCCAAGUCGUGUAAUCCACACGGGCAAGGUCAAUCUGGGCGUGUGGGCCACACGGAUGUGUGGGUCCACAAGGGCAACCCGCACGAGCAUGUGGACCUAUUGUACUGAAAUUUUUUGUAGGGCCGCACAGGUCGUCCUAAUCGACUGUGGGCCUACCAUAAGGUCGGUAAAUGCAAUCUAACCCUAUAACGAAAUAAUCUAUUAGCCUGAAAUAUGGUUAUGAGCCUGCCUAUGUUUGUUUAUCAGUUAUCUGUUUAUGAAAGCUGUUAAGCAUGAUUUAUCUGUUAAUUCUGUAUGGGAGUUCUGUUACUGUAAUUGGGGUGGGAUGAUGCAUAUUGGAGAAAGUGUUCUGAAAGGCAGAGUAUGCCUAAUAUUUGGCAGCUCAGCUGCAUUAUAUCUAAUAUGUGCUGCUUUGGUAUAGCGUGGUAUGUAGGGAUGGGUAGGUGUUUUAAACCCCACAUGGUAUGUAGGGAUGGUCGGAGAUGGUGUGUAGAGGAUGAGGGUAGGAUUUUGAUAUGUAAUUUGCAUAUCUAUAACUGUAUCUACAUCUGAAAUGGGCUCAGGCUCGAAUAUGUAUCUGCAUCUUACAUGGGCCCAAGCCUGAAUAUUAAUCUAUCUGAUUUGUGGUAUUCUGUAUGUGUACAUGCUUAACUCUACUGGGUUACACAUUGAGUUUAUGUAAACUCACCCCUUCUCUAUUUGUUUGUAUAGGUAACCCACAGUCUUAGGCAGAUCGGUGCAACAGAGGACUCGACGGUGACCAUCUAUUUUUACGAUUUUAUUUUAUUUUAUGGUUAUGAAGUUUUGACAUUGAGGUUGUAUUUUUUGAACUCUUUUAAACUAUUUGAUGCUGGUUUUGGGUGGUUUUUACUUAUGUACAACUAUGAUGGUUUACCAAUGGCAAGGGUUUUCUAAAAUCUUGAACGGAUUUUCUAGACACAACGAUUUUACAAGCUUCUGCUACAAAUACGUUUUAUCUUUGAAUAAUUAAAUGAAAGAAAGCUUUGAAAUUAAUAAUAGCAAUAAAGACUAAUGAACUGGAAAGGUUUUAACUUAAUGACAAUGGUUUUUCAACCAUUUCAUGUGACACUUCCAAAUUCAGUUAUAACAUCUAGGUCGAGUUUGGGGUGUUACAAAACAUGGAAGGGUUAGUUAUGCUUGAAAAGAAGUCAAAGCUAGAAGUUACUAUAAAAAGUGAUGAGAUUGAGGAAAGUAAGAAAAAGCAUAAGCCAGUAAUUAAAGACUACAAACCACUAUAUCCAGCAGCAUUGAAGAGAGACCACAGAAAAGAACUAUAUGGUAUAUUUCUUAAACUUCUAAAAAAACUGCACAUUAACUUACCAUUUGUUGAAGCUAUUUAACAAAUGCCAAAGUAUGCAAAAUUUUUAAAGGAGCUAUUAACAAAUAAAACGAAGUUAGAUGAAUUAUCGACUAUGAAGCUCAAUGCAGUUUGCUCAGUCAUUCUCCUAAACAAACUACCCAACAAACUUAAAGAUCCAAGGAGUUUUAUUAUUCCAUGUCUCAUUGGUAGUUUAAAUGUUGAAAAAGCUUUGGCUGAUUUGGGGGAUAGUAUAAAUUCUAUGCCUUAUAAGAUGUUCAAACAACUUGGUCUUGGAGAACUUAAACCCAUUAGGAUGAGUAUUCAAUUAGUGGAUAGAUUAAUUAGAUAUCCUAGAGGUAUUAUUGAUGAUGUACUUAUAAAAGUCGAUAAAUUUAUAUUCCCUAUUGACUUUGUUGUAUUGGACAUGGAUGAGGAUAUUAAGGUACCUAUGAUCUUAGGUCGAGCUUUUUUAGCCACUACUAGAACUAUUAUUGAUGUGGCUACUGGUGAACUUGUGCUUUGCGUAGGUGAUGAAAAAAUUUCUUUUCAAGCACGUGAUUUUAUGAGAGUCCCUAGUAAGCGAGAUGAUACUCAUUGUUCUGUUAAUGUUAGUAAUCAUGAGGCUCAACGUUCUUUGUAGGAAAUCCCUAAUGAAAACACAUUGGAGCCAUAUUUUAUUCAAAGUGAUAUGUAACACCCUAAAAUAGGGCCUAAGAGUUUUAUGGGUAAUUUAGGAAUUUUAGCCUUAGACUAUUCAGAAUUUUAUGACCUGGUAUAUCGGUAAUGUUUUCGAAAAAUGACUAAUUUGUAAUAAGGCUGAAAUUGUGAGCAUUUAUGCUGUAGUUUUACCAAAUUUUAAAUUUGAACCUAAAAACCCAACAUACUUGUUUUCACGUUUUUUUUCUCUUCUUAGGUUGCUUGUGCUGUCCUUUGCUCUUCCAAUCUCCCACCUUUGAUUUUCCUUGUUAAAUUUUCAUUCUUUUGAUUUCCAUCAUCAUCCAAGUCUUUAAUCUUCAUAAUACUUCAAGAAAACACUCCAAAAUUCCAUUAAUUUAUUUAUCUUCUUCACUUGUAGGUUUUUCAGAUUUGCAUCAAAAUCUCAUUUAUUCUUCUAUCAAAGGUAACCAUUCACGUUCUUAAUAGUUUUUAAUGUUAUUAGGCCUUUGAAACCAGGUAUGGAGUUAUGAAAUUGCAUAUUUUAAAUAAAAGCCAAAAAUAAAGUUGUUAAUGGUGAAUUUUAGAUUUUCGAGUAAAAAUAUGAUUUCAAAGUGUUAAUCAAUAGGUUUUGACAUGAUUAAGAGAUUUCAAAACUUGUUUUGAAGUUUCAUUAAAAAUUUCUUGAGUUUUAAUGAAUUUUAAAAAAAUAGCCAUAAACAUGUUGAAAAAGUCGAUACCACGAACUGAGUAGAUUAAUGUAGUUUAAAGGUUGAGAAUUAGACGUAGGUGAAUUAUAAGAUGAACAGAAUUGGUUUUAUGCGAAAAGACUGUGUAUAGACCUAGAUAUUCGAAUUUAAAGUUUACUAUGUUAAAGUUUUCAGUUACAUGAAAACUUAGUUUAGGUUUAUAUUUUUGAUUGUUUUUGGUGAGUCAUUAGCUGAUUUUUGAAUGUAUUGUUGUGUGAAUUAUUGUGUUGAAGCUUCGGAUUCGCUAAGACCAUUUACGAGUUAGGAAAGGCUAGUUUGAACUUUUGGCUUUUCGGUGAAAGCAUAUUGGUGUGUGUGGAGUAAUUGCUUGUGGCCCCAAUUCAAUGCAUUAAUUGAGAAUUUAGAAGUAGCCUAAACCCCUAUUCUAAAUUUCAAGUGUACAAUUUCUCGUACUCUUAAUUUAAUAUGUGCUUGUUGAUUGUAAAAUUGUGAAGUGAGAUAAGAUGUUAUAUUAUGUGAUAUGUGCUCAAGAUUACCUUUGAGAAAGUGUAAAUGUAAACAUGUUAUAUACGCUAGAUGACAGUGAUAAUGUUGUGUUAUAAUGUAAUAUUUACAGUGAAUAAGUGCAAUGAAUGGUAAGUACAUGUGUAUUAAUAACGGAUAUUUUGACCUUGUGAUUCUUAAGACCAUUGGACAUAGUUGGCAUGCCAUAAGAUUGUGAGUACUCACCUAUAUGUAUAUGUGAUUUUGGCGUUAAGGCCUUGAGAUAUGUUUGGAGAGAUAAGAAAAUGUGAGCUAAGCUCCAUUCAACGAUACAUGUUUGGUGCGUUGGAGAGUGUUAGCUUUAUGCAUUAACUUUUGGACACGUUUGACUCAAUGGGUCUUUGUGGUGUGUUGGGGAUCCAUAUAACCAUUGAGUUGUGAUAGUGCCCACUUUUAUAUUUAAUAGCUCAAGUGUCAAAUUAUCUAUACAUAUGUUUGUAUGUAUUGUGAUGUAUGCAUGAAUGUGUAUGUAGUGACUCCAUAAAUAAACUAUGGAAUAGGCAUGAGAAGUAAAAUAUGUCAACUAAGUUGAGGCUGCUAUAAUUAUGCUACUGAUAUGUUGUAGCAAUGUUUAAUGGACUGUUUGCAUGGUAGUUGUUCUAGGCAUUCAUUGAACUUGUUAAGCUCGUCCACCCGCUUCUUAAACCUUUGCAGAUUAGUUGUGUGCCAAUGUGGUUUUUACGGGGUGAUCCAACAAGUCCAUUUUUGUUUUUUUGUAGGUGUUAGUGUUAAUUAUUUACAUUUUAGGAAUAAGGCAUUGUGGUAGGCUUUUAUUGGUAUUUGUCAUGAUGUUUUUGGAUGCUUCCAUAAUCUAUUCGAUCUUAGGAUUAUGAGAUUUGUUUUGUAAUAUGUUGAUUAUAACUUGAACCUAAUUUUGAUUUUUGAAACUGUUGAUAUGGAUGAUUGGAUGUUUAUUUGGUAUAGUAAUGGAUGCAUGAUGAAUAAAUUUGAUGUUGGAAUGUUCAGUAGGCAUAUAUGUGUUGUAUUGUUGAGGUCUAAAAAAGAGGUAUCUAUAUUCGUGUGUUAAAACCGAUACCUCUAUAAUUUUUGAAAUGUGUAGGAAGUUAAAAUUAUAAAUUGGUAUCGAUACCAUAUCAUGAGUAUCGAUAUUCGGGGUAAAGUUAUCGAUACUUUUUGUAAGAUAUCGAUAAUUUUGAGUGGUUUAUUUUUGGGCGAGAAAUAAAUAUUGUUUUGGUAUCGAUACUGAAUGAAGGAAAUAUUGAUACCUAUGUGCCAAUAUCGAUACCUACGUACUAGAUUGGAAUUUUGCUAAGCGGCCCUUGUGUAUGUACAAAUGUCAUUAUGAGAUGCUUAAGGUUUGUUCAACAAGACUUAGUGGUAAUUAGGAGUAUGUUUCACUUAAAACUCAAGCAAAUGCUAAAAUGGAUGACAUUUCUUCUAGAAUGAGCUCUUAAUUGUUGUGAAUGACAUGAGAUGGUGGUAUGGCGUCCUGAUAUUCGGGCUCGACAACCGGAUAGGACUGAGCCAGGUAUUAGAGCUUAGGUUCAUUAGCACUUGAACCUAGGUGAUUGUUGAUGAGUGAAUGGUUAAAUGUUUUGUUACAUUAUAUUAAUUUGCUUGAAUGGUUAAUUAAGGUGCCAUUUGAGGCAUAUUGGUUAGUUAUUUAGGUGUUAUUGUUGUGUUAUGUUUGGUUGGUGAAUUUGGUAUAAAAUUAACUUUUAAAGGAUGAAAUUUUACCAUUUUUGAUGUUAGGUAUUGAUAUUUUGGCAUUUGGUAUAGAUACUUGACCAUAUGAAUAGUUUUAAAACAAGCACAAUGCCAAAAUGAUAUUGAUUUUUAUUUAAGUAUCAAUACUUUUUCAUAAAGUAUCGAUACCAUAAAAUAAAUAUCGAUACCUUAGUUUUUGGUAACAAACAAAUUCAUAAUCUAGUAUCAAUUUUUCAUAAUGUAUCGAUUCAAUAUCGAUACCAACUAUGAAAUAUUGAUAUCAACUUUAAGAAUUUUGAAAUUCUACUUUUCAAACCCAUUUCAUGUCUAGGCUAUUACAAAUAGAUCUUUAUUGAAUUCAAUUUUCUACGUUUGUAUAAUAGAUAAUUAAGUGAAUUAUUUGUAAACAUAUUAUUUAUGAAUUAAUCAUAAAAAAUUGAAUUAUUAAAUUAUAAAUUAUUUGUAUUAAAUAGUAUUGAUUCGUAACAUUCUAUUACUUGGUUCCGGCCACUAGAACGGGUGAAGGGUGUUACACCUUAAUAGCCUUUGCUUUCAUAAUUGAAUAUAACAAAACCAUCCGUUCCACAAAAAUUGUGGUGCUAUGUGACACAGACAUUAGACUAAAAUUUAAAAAAUAAAACCAUACCUUUGCUAAUGGGGUCAAAUUUUCUCUACGACAAGUAUGAUUUCCGCAUCUCGACACAGUCCAUUUAAACCCAGGAAUUGUAAGUUCACGUAAAAAUUCUUGCAACAUCUCCGUUUCAACAUUUAUCUAUAUCGAAGAACCAUCUUUAUCUUUGUAAUAAGGUAAAUAAUAAAAAUCAUUAAUUGAUUUUGAGUUUAAUGGUACCUUAAUACCUCGGACAAAGCUUCUAUUGCAUUAGUUGAGGUCAGAUUUGCAUAAAAUUCUCGAACUAACUCAAGAUCUAGGAUCGGUUUUUCAUCACAAAACGCUUCCCAAUUUAAUGCUUCAACUAUUUUCUGAACGUUUGCCAUGAAGUCACUGUGAUUACUUUCUCCCAAAUUAAAUCCUUUUUCCAUGAGUGUAAUGACCCAUUUUUGCCCGGGCUUACACUAGAACCAAAACCAAAAUAAAACAAAAAUAAAAAAACAAAAAUAAUUAGGUCCAAUGUCCCUGUUACAAGUCUAAUUAUUUAGCCCACAAUAACAUAAACCCCUAGCCCAAAUUCUGACCCAAAACAGAAAAAUAUUCAAGAAAUCCUAAGUUACCAAGUUUACACAAGCCAGAAGCUUCUGGAACGUGCCAGAACAACGUCAGGGGAUCGGGCUCCCAUGAGCAAUUCCGCAGAGUCUCCGAGCCUCAUCCACGAGUGUUCUUUUCCGUACAGUCGAACCUGCGAGAAGAAAAUAACAGAAAUAGGCCAGCAGAUGACAGCAAAUAUUAGAGUUUUCUCUAUUUUAUUUAUUUAUUCUGUAAAUCGGUUAUAAAAAGGUCGAAAAAAAUCAGUGUAAAGGGGGGAUUACGAAAAUGUUGAAUACAAAAUAAAAAAAAAUGAAGAUUCCACAAAAAUUAGAAGGUGAUAGUUUACUUUAUUUUAAUUUUUUGGUUUUAAAUCUCUGUUUUCAUUUUUUUUUCGUUUUUAAAAUACUUUUCUUGUAUGCGAAUAAAUAAAAAGGAAAAGAGAGAGGGGAGUUUACCUUCGAAAACGAGCCAUCGGAAUCCUUAUCUCCUUCGUCGAAAUCGAAGCCUGAGAUGGGAUUUUAGAGUGUUAAUCGGCCGAAUAGUGAAAGGGGAAAUUUCCUUUGUUUUUGAAGUGGCUAAGGUUUGGUCUUUGAGAAUCGGUUAAAAAAGGGGAAAAUUAGGGAUUGCUUUGAUUGCUUAAAGAAAAUGGCAGAUGGCCAUCCAAUUUCUUUUAGUUUUAAUGUUAAAAAAUGGUGUCAUUUAAUAAAACAAGAAAGCCCGCACGUUGGCCCAAUUUGUAAGCUGGAUAUGCGCAUUUCCAUCUUAAAUGGGAAAUUUUCUCGGACAGUCCCUCAUACUUGUGCCACCCUUAAUUUAAUCUUAUUUUAUUUCCUUCACAUUUGCCCUGAAGUUUGCGGGCUAUUUCAAUUCAGUCAGCGCCUGAGUGUUUUUCUUUGAAGUUGGGAACGUUUUCACUUUUAACCCUUGAGCAUUCGCACGCAUUGUAUUUUAGUCCUUAUGACAGUUUCAUUGAUUUAUUUUAUUUAUUAAUUAUCUCUGUUAGUUUAAUUUUAUUUCAAUUAAGUUCUUUUUUCCAUUUCAAUUUGUAUAAUUCAUUAUUUUUUUAUAUACAUUCAUUUAGUGUUUAUCUCUUUUUUUUUUAUACAAUUUAAAUUACUUUCAUAAAUUACUUUGUUUUCAUUAUAAAAGUACUAUUUUAAAAUCACCUUUUAUAUAUCAUAUUAUUUUAAAAUUUUGUACAAUAUUUAAUUUAAAUUACCUAUAUAUAUAAUUUAUGUUAAAAAUAGUUUUUAAACAUUAUUAAUUCUUGAAAUUUUGUACAAUAUGCUUAUUUGCAUCUCCUUUUAAAUUUAUUAUGAAUGUAAUUUAUUCUUGAAAAAACAUAUUUUAUUAUUUCUUUGUUAUUUAGGAUCCUUUCAUGUAUAUAUAGUUUUAUUAUAUAUUGACUUGUUAUUCUUUUAUGUAUAUUAUUCAUUCCUUAUUUUUAUUGUAUCUUCAUUAUAUAUUGUUUACAUCGAUUUUUUAUUUUUGUAUGUAUAUUAUCACCUUUAAAUAGAUAUGUAUUGUUUUUAAAAUAUUUUUGUAUGAUAUUUGCUCCGAAUUUCUUCUUUCACAAUAUUUUUAUUUUAAUAUCCAUUUACAUAUUUUUAAGUUUAUUUUUAUAUAUGUAAACCAUUGUCAAACCCUAGCAUGCAUUAUUUAUUUGUAAGUUUUUCAUAUAGUUUUAAAUUGUUGUGUAUUAUAUUUGGCUCUUAGUGUCCAUAUUACUCUGUAUAUUAUGUGUUGUGUUUCAUUUUUCAUAUUAUUUUAUAUAUUAUUAUUGUAUAUUGUCAAUCAGUCUUUUCUACUAUUGCUUCAAUUUCUGUUCAUCUAUGCUCGAAACUUGUUAUAUUUUAUUCUAAUUUAUUUUUGGAUGUGAGCUCAUUGCUAUUGUGUGUAUGUUAAUUUGUUCUUUUUUGUCCACUUGUAUAAUAUUUCAUCUAUGUAUAUAUCCUCUUUUAAAGUUAUUUAUGCAUAUAAUAUAUUUGUUUUAAGAACCAUAUUAUCAUAUAUACUCUCAUGUUAUCCUUAUGUAUGCCUUAUUUAUGUGUUCUAUCAAUUCAAAUCGUUUUGCUACAUGUAAAAUUAUGUUAUAUAUUAUUUGUUUUAAAAUUUCCUUUAUAAAUAUAGUUUUAUAAAUAUACAUCACUAAAUCUAUGUAUUUUGUAAAUAUUAGUUUUACCGAUCUUGUUUUCAUUUAAAAUUUUGUUAUAUAUAUAAUUUAUAUAUAUAUUUAUACAUUAUUAACUUCAUUCUUCCACAAAUAAUUAUUCCCAAAUUUACUAGUAUAUACAUAUUUUAUGAAUUUAUUAUGUAUGUUAUAUUAUAUCAUGUAUUGUUAUUCCUGCAUAUUGAAUCUUUUAUUUAAAUUAUCUUGUGAAUUAUCAAUUUUUGAAUGAAUUUGUGUUUUAAAUAUUUCAUAUAUAAUUUGAUUUGAACUUUGUAUUUUUAUCAUAAUUAUUUUCAAUAAACAUGUUUUUAAGCAAAUUUUUAAAUUUUUAUUGUUCAAAAAAUUCUGAAAUAAGACAAUAUCUAAUAUUUGGGGAAUUCAGAAAAUCGUGCUCAAUCGUACUAGGCAUGACUUUUCUGGAUAACCGAAUAUUUGGAUAACCCUUUUAUAAUUUUAAUGUAUGGCUUUUCAAAAGUCGAAAAUCGAUCGCAUCUUAAAGGUGUAAGGGAUCGUAUCCAAUCGUACUGGGUAUGAAAUCACAUAUCUUUGAAACGAGAGAUUUUUUUGACCGCUAAUUUGAGCUAUUCAAACAAUUUUAAAAAAAUCAUACUUUGGAAACUCUUUUCUUUUAAAACUUUUGAUAUAAGGACAACAUCAAAUCAAUUUGGUACCAAUUUUUGGGGGUAAUGAGGGUGCUAACCAUUCCUCAUGCGUAACCGACUCCCGAACCCGUUUUUCUUUAUUUUACCUAAACCAAAUUUAUUUUCUCAUUGAAUAAAGCAUUUUAGUAGGUGACCCAAUCGCACCUAAAUAAAGAGAUUGGUGGCGACUCCACAUUUUUGUUUUCAAAAGUCGAUCCCCAUUACUUUCAAAAUAAAAAAGGGUUUCGACAAUGAGCAUUUUUUGUUUCCUGAAGAUGUUCUCGUACCUCACCUUUACUUCUUCGGAAUGGAAUUUAUUUUGUGAUUUUUCAAUUUGAAUCGUGAAACAUGUUCUUUUCUGAGACAUAUUGCAAUUAAUAAAAGCCUGAGACUUAAAUUAAAUGAAAAACCAACAUAAAUAGAAAUUCUCCAAAUUUUUUACGAAAUAUUCAACAUAGUUAAUUUUACUUAACAAAAAUAUUAAUAAAUAAAUUAAUGGAAAAAAAAAUUGAUAACAAGUUUAUUACUACCUUUGUAACAAACCAAUGAAAAAUUGUUAUAGGGUGUGGAGGAAAGGGUGUUGGGUUUAAGGGUAUAGGGGUGGUUGAUGGUGGCUUGGGCGGUAGUUGAAGGGUGCGGCAGCUUGGAGCAAGGUGCAACGGUUGACAGCUUAAGGGAGUUAGGGAUGUGUAGCUGAUGUUGGUUGGGGAGAGAAUGUGGCAGUGAUCUUUGGUUGAAGGAAGGGUGCAAUGCGCGAUGGUGGUAGGGAGCUAAGAAGGCCAAUAGUGUUGGGGAAUGAAAGUAAUGUGGUAUCUAUUGGAGAGGCAAAUGUGGUGUAUGGGCGGUGGUGGAGAGAAGAAGUAGAGGUGGAGAUGGAGAAAAGGUGGUAAAAUUUAAGGUGUUGGUAGGAAAGUUUUAAGAAAAUACAAACACUUAACAAUUAAAAUAUAAUUAAAAUAUGAUUAAUCCUAGUUCUAAACAAAUUUGAUAACAAUUAAUAUAUAAUAUAUAUGUAUAUAAUUAUAUAUUAUUAUCUUAUUAAAUAAAAAUAAUUUUUUUAUCUAUAACUGUUAAAAAUAUUUAUUUACAGAAAACACAACCAUUUAUUAAAAACAAAUAAAUUAAGUACCUGCAUUGAAAAAUAAAUUAAAAAGAAAACAAAAAAUUAACGUUUGGGGUCAAAAUUGAACCUUUAUUUAGCAAUUUAAAAUUUAUUUGUCUACUUAGAAAAUAUUUUCUCAAAAGGUUAUGUUAAAAUCAAUUAUCAGGAAAAUUUGGAGGGAUCACAAGCGAUCCCAUUUAAAUUCUAACCUCCUAGAGAGAAUUUCUUUUAAAAUAAUAAUCUAGAAAAUAUUGUCUAAGUCAAUUAUUUGAAAAAGAAAAUGAAAAAUUAAAGAUCCGAUAAAGUGAGCGAAGUUUUAUUCUGCUCAACUUUAUCACCAUAGUAAUGUUUAAGGCAUUGACCAUUAACAUUGAACUUAUGUCUCUUACCGUCAUGAAGUUCAACUACCCCGUUUGGAAAUACUUGAUGAAUAAUGGAUGGAUCAGACCAACGAGAUUUAACUUACCUCGGAAAAACUUUAAUAUGGAAUUGAACAACAAAACUUGCUGAUCACGUGAUUCGUAACAAGUAAUAAAUAUUUAUAAUGAAGAUCAAACCUAGACUAACUAUUAUCGCGAUGUAGGCAAGUGUACCUAUCGAACAGUAGUAUAGUUUUAGCAAAGACCGGAUUGUCGAACCUAAAGGAACUAAAAGUACUAGUAAUGACUAUCUUUUUAUUAUCUAGCCUAAGAAUAAAAGGGGUUUUAUUUGUUUUAAUUAACUAAUUAUCUAAACUAAGAACGCACGAGAAAAGAAUUGGGGAAUUACUUUUAGGAAAAUCGAUUGACUUGAGACAAUACCUAAGGAAAAAUCCACCUAGACUUUACUUAUUAUUCUGGCUCUGAAUCAGAAUAACCGAGACUUUUCUCUAAUUAACACUCUAGGGUUUCAUUAACUUGAUCUAUGGAUCCCCUUAUUAGGUUUUACCCUAAUCCGAAAAAAUCUUGUCACCCUAUUUCUAGGCGCGCAAACAACUCCACUUAAUUAUGACAAAAGUACUCUUAGAAAUGGUCUAUUCCUCCUUUGAAUAAGAGCAUGUCUUGAAUCAGUAUCCUGGGAUAUCAAAACAAGAAUUAAGAACACAUAAUUAAGAACAAGAUAAAUAUUUAUCAUACGAUUCAGAAAAUAAUAACAAGAUUCGUCUUAGGUUUAUUCCCCUUAGGUAUUUAGGGGAUUUAGUUCAUAACUAAAUAAGAAAACAUCUCAGAAGAAUAAAGAAUACAAAACAUAAAGAAAACCCAAAACUCCUAAUAGGAAAUUGAGGAGAGAUCUUCAGUCUUGAUGAUGAAUCCGGCUUCUGAGAUGGAUCAAUCGGCUUCCUUGGGGUAAUUCCUUACCCCCCUUCUCCGUCUCCCUUUUUCUCCUAUUCUAGGGUGUAUUUAUAGGAUUUGGAAUGCCUAGAAGCCCUCAAAAGUGGCCUUUUCCGAAUUGGACUUAACUUGGACUCGACAGGGACACGCUCGUGUGACACGCCCGUGUGCUAUUACUUCAGGCUGUGUUCGAGCCUGUUAGAAUGGCACGGGCGUGUUCUAUGCCCGUGUGAGUUGUGCUCCAAUUCUGCCAGAUUGACACGGCCGUGUGGUCUGUUCGUGUGAGGAGGUCCAGACCGUGUUGAUUUCGUACUUUGGUCUAUUUUUUCUGUUUUUGGCCUUUUUCUCGUUCCUUUCGGUCUCCUAUUCUCUCUUAAGUAUAAAACAUGAAAUUAAAGCAUUAGAAGCAUCUAAUUCACCAAUUCUAAUGAGAAAUCAUCCAUAAAAUGCAUUAAACAUGGGGUAAAAAUGUGUAUAAUUUACGGUUUAUCACUUGCUUAUCUACUUCAAACUCUAGAAAUCGGAUGUGUUUGUUAUGCCAUCUUUUUAUUCUCUUUUUAAACAACUUGGCAUUCUCAUAUGAAAACAUCCAAAAUUCUUCUAAUUCAUUGAGCUGAAGCAGUCGUUUCUCUCUAGCAAGCUCGAGAUCCAAGUUGAGUUGCUUGAGAGCUUAAUAAGCUUAAUGCUCUAACUCCAAGGGCAAAUGGCAGGCUUUCCCAAAGACUAAUCGAUAGGAGAACAUCCCUAAAGGUGUUUUUAAUGUUGUCUAGUAGUCCCAUAAAGCAUCAUCCAAUCUUCUAGACCAAUUUCGCUGGUUUGUAUGGACUACCUUCUCGAGUAUACCUUUUAUAUUUUUAUGCAGCAAUUCAGCUUGCCCAUUUGUCUAUGGAUGGUAAGCUGUGGCGAUCUUAUGCUUCACUCCAUGUUCAUCAAUUAACCAUUUCAACCAUUUCAUCAUUAAUGAUAGCUCUUGGAGUUUCAAACCUUUAUGAACAUGUUUUUGAAAAAAACGCAUCACUAUCUUGACAUUGCUCAUCAAAUACGCCUCAGCCUCAAUCCAUUUAGACACAUAGUAUACCGCUACUAGAAUGUACGUGUUACCAUAAUGAGGAAAAUGACUAAGAAAGUUAAUACCCCAAACAUCAAAUAAUUUUAUCUAAAAAAUGUUCGUCCAUGGCAUUUUGUUUCUAUUUGAUAUGUUUCCGACCCCUUGGCAUCGGUCACAACUCCAUACAUAAGCAUAUGCAUCUUUGAAUAAGAUCCGUCAAAAGAAUCCAGCUUGCAACACCUUGGUCGCAGUACAUGAACCUCCGAAGUGUCCCCCACUUGGAGACAAAUGAAAAUUAUGUAAAAUAUCAUUUACUUCAUUUCCUACCACACAUCUCCUGAUCAUUUGAUUUAUGCACUGUUUGAAUAUGUAUGACUCCUCCCAAAAGUAGUACUUCACAUCGUUAAAAACCUUUUUCAUUUUCUGGUAUGACUUAUCUGGCGACAUCACACCACAAACUAAAUAGUUAGCAUAAUCAGCAAACCAAGAGUAUUAUGAACGUUAUUUACCUUAAAUAAGUGCUCGUCCAAAAAUUUCUUCUUAAUAGCAACAAGAGGAAAUAUCUUUUAUUGCUACUCCAAUUUGGAUAAGUGAUCUACUACUUGGUUUUCUACCCAUAUCUGAUCUUGAAUUGUUAAAUCAAACUUGUGAAGUAAGAGUACGCACCAGAUCAACUUCAGCUUGGCAUCUUUCUUGGCAAGUAUUUUUGUAACACUCCUAACCCGUAUCCGUUGCCGGAAUAAGGUUAUGAGGUAUUACUUGACUGAACAAAACUUCUAUAAGGUCAAAGAUACUCAUUAUCAAAACAUAACCGAAUAUCUAAUAACAAAUUAACUACUGUCAAGUUAUAACUAAAACAUUUCACCACAUUAGUUCAAUUAUAAGGCUUCUCUAAACAAAAUGAGCAAGCCAUCUUCGCAUGGCUAUAAUGUAUACAAAGUCGAAAUAUCAUUCUACCUAUAGUCUAUCCUAUACAUGCCUUAAACCAUGAUGAUAUACAAUCUUCUCAACUCACAUAAUGACUCGAUAGUGUGAUGAUAUCUCCGGCCCUUCCAACUUGAGCUAAAGUAUAAACCUAUAAGAAAUGGAAAAGAGAACACGGAGUAAGCUUCAAUGCUUAGUAAGUUUUAAGCAAUGCAAACAAUUAAUUUACUUAUAGAUAGAUUAUUUCAAAUUUUCAAGAAAUCAUUCCUAGAUAAUUGCCAUUUUGGCCAAGCAUCCAUGAACAUAAUGCAUAUUUAGCAAAUUCACCUCACUUGAAUCUAAACUCAAUUAAAACCAAAUAUUGAAAUCACAAGUAAGAUCAUAAGAACUCGAAAAGCAUCUCAUUAACAAGUUUUAACCAUGUUUGCAAUAAAAUCACAAAUUCACUAAAGUUGUCUUCCUGAGCAACAGUCACUAAAUUAUUUAUAACUGGAGAUAAGAAACUCCAAAUCAAGUGACGUUAAUUUUCCCUGAAAAUAGACUUAUAUAUCUUCCAUCCAUCAAAUUUUCAGAAUUUUUGGUUUGACCAAUCAAUACCAUAUUUUUAUUGAAGUUUCCUCUGUUUCACUGUUUGACUAUUCUGACCACUCUUCACUACGAAUCAAUUUUCUCAUUAUACAGAAUUCAAAAUAUGUUAUCAUUUAUUUCAUUUGAAACUAGACUCAUUAAGGAGUCUAAGGAUAUAAAUUUUAUCUUAUAACCAUUUUUGUACCAUUUAUAAUGAUUUUCUAAAAACAAAACAGGGGACCUCGAAGUCAUUUUGACUCUAUUCCACGCCACUUCAAAUAUCUCAUUAUUGGCAAUUCUUUUGCUCACGGUUUCUUUUAUAAGAAACUAGACUCAUUAAGAUUUCAUACAUAAUUUAUUCAGAUUCUAACUCAACUCCCACAAUUUAUGGUGAUUUUACGAAAUCACAUUACUGUUGCUGUCCCAAGCAGAUUUAUUACCCAUUCUUGCAUUCAUAUUAUUUAACAUGUAUAUCACCAAAUCAAUCUCAUAUAACCUUUCACCAUAACCGAAUACACACAUACACAUAUGAGAUUUUCACAUAUACUUCUCAUUUCUCAAUCAUGAUUCAAUUCCGAUCAAUCUAACAUAUAAAAGUGUAUAAUACAUACCUGACCAACUUAAUGUAUUUGACAUAUUCAAUGGUAGUUUACUACGAACAUUCGAAAUCAUAAUCUUACUCCAAUCAUCGGCAUUAAGUCUGUUAGGUUUAAAACCCAAAUCCAAUCACCACCACAAAGCAUGCGGGACUUUAAGCCCGAAUAUAAUACCAGCACAAAGCCUACGGGACUUUAGCCCAGAUAUAACACCAGCACGAAUGCCUUCGGGGCUUAGCUCGGAUAUAACACCAGCACGAAUGCCUUCGAGGCUUAGCCCGGAUAUAACACCAGCACAUAUGCCUUCGGGGCUUAGCCCGGAUAUAACACCAGCACAAAUGCCUUCGAGACUUAGCCCAAAUAUAACACCAGUACGAAUGCCUUCGGGACUUAGCCCGGAUAUAACACCAGCACGAAUGCCUUUAGGACUUAGCCCGGAUAUAACACCAGCACAAAUGCCUUCGAGCCUUAGCCCGGAUAUAAUUCUCCAUUAUCAUGCACAUAUAUAUAUAUGUAUCAUAACACAUUAGCAUUUUAUUUGCAUUACUUGAACACAAGCACAACGUGCUUAUCAACCAUUCCACUUUCGGCUCAAUAGCCACAUACAAAGAACACGAUUUCGUUUCGCUAUCCAACAUGAUUUCUAUAACCAUUCGGCUACAAGUCAUAUACACAAAUUAUUUAUCCCACUACCUAAUUCAAGUAGAACCAAUAGGUCACAAUUUAUUUAUUAUGCUUAUAUACCAUGAUUUUAUCAAAUUAUAAGCUAAGUUUCAUUACUCAAAGACUUACCUUGGUAUAUUCAAACGGUUGUAGAUUGGCUACUCUAUUGCUUUCUCUUUUCCCCUAUCCAACUUUGAUCCUCCUUGCUCUUGAGCUUAAUAAAUGCAAGUAGAUUUGUUUAAUAUCUUAACCAAUAUUGUUUACUUAUUAUUCACAUUCGGCAAUCACAUAACAAAUUCAAUAUGUAUUAUAAUUUAUAAAUAUGCCAUGAUUCAAAUUUCGUACUUAUUUAUAACCAAAAAUGGCAAGAACUUAUCAAGCCACGAUAGUUACUUAUAACUCAAACUCAAAAUGAUCAUAAAACCCUAAUAACCGAUCAUUCAACUUAUACUAGUUUCGCAUACACAAGCAAAACUCACAUAGUUUAGCUUGUUUUCUUAUACACUAGUUUAACCACUACGAUUAUUACCAAAUAAAUCACAUUCAAUUAACACUACCCAUUUACAUAUACAUCAACUAUCAAAUUCUCACUCCUUAGCUAAUGUCGAAUGCUUAUAUAAGCCCUAAGUCAUCUUUACACAUUUAUCAACUUUCCAAUUCAACUUAAUACCAAAAAUUAAUGUCAUUUAAAUAGCCAACACCAAAACAUUUGUUCAAAAGGACCUAGCCGAACACCUCACUUAGUUAAAAGUUCCACACAAAACACUAGUAGCCAACUCAAUUUCAUCCUUAAUAUUUCUUAUAACAAAAUUUAUCAAAAUUCAAUAAGAAAUACAUUAAAUUCCAUGACCGAAUUUGCAUUUCACCAUAAUAGCCACUUGCCAUAAAACAAUUAAGCCACAAUCAUUUAAUUUACCUAGCUUAGACUUAGAUUAAUAAUUAUCUAAAUUAUUUAAACAUUCAACACAAACUCUUCUUUAAUUAAGCACAUAUUCGGCAAGGAAAAAUGGUAAAUUAGCAAACCUUAGUUUAACAUAUAAUUUGUUUAUAACACAUUUUAAGCAUUCUUUUCAUUCCGUCAACUCAAAACACAUACAUUACUCAAAUAUAACCAAGUUCAUAUUCGGCAAUAGCAUCCAACAUGAUAGCCGAUUCUUCCCACUUAGCAUCUAAUGCAUACAUAUGAUCAUUUGUUUGGCUCAAACGCCCAUCCACCAUGAUUCAUCCAAAUUAACAUGAAACAACAACCAUAUUCUUUAUUAACUACUAUGGCCGAAAGCUCUAUUCAUUCCCAAAAUAAAAAAUUUAACAUGGGUCAAAUAAAGAAGUUGGUAACUAACUCAAAAAUUAACUAAAAUUUCAAGAAUUAACAUAAACUUUUUACCUUAGUUUAAGCCUAGGAUGACCGAGUGGUGUUUCUCCCCUAUUCUUCCUUCACAUUCGGCUUAGAAGAAACAAAGAUGAACACUUUGUUUUCUUCACCCAUUUUCCCCCUUUUUUAAUUAUUAUUAUUCUAUAAUAUAAAGCCAUUUAAUUAGAAUAAUGCUAAUAGAAAAUUCAUAUAUUAUAUAUUAACUAGUAACAUGGCCGGCCACUAUCUAAAAUGGGUAAUUUGACAUGCAAAACCAUUCUUUUCAAUACAUGCAUUAAUAGACCAUUAUAAAAUUAACCUAUCACAUUUCAAAAGUGUCUCACAUAAGUCCUAUUUAAUAAAUUCACAUACAAAUGAUCAAAUCAAAGCACGAAACUUUUACACAUGCAUUAUCUCAUAUAAUAGACAUGGAAUUUAACAUUUAAUUAUUUUCAUGACUCAGUUUUGUGGUCCCGAAACCACUUCCUGACUAGGGUCAAAUUAGGGCUAUUACAACACUCUCCCCUUAGGGAUUUUUGUCCCCGAAAAUCUUAUCAAUAAAAAAAAAAGUUUCCAUUCUGAAAACGUUUUCAAAAAUUUCGGAAUCACAAAUUUCCAUUCAUCACAUGUAUCUCUUUUUACCAACAAUCUCUAAACUUUAAUUCACACUGACAGAUCACAUUGGCAGACUAUAUUAUAAAUAUCUCAACAACUUUGUCGAUCGGAAUUUUGUACAUACUAAACUGAAGACACAGAUUCUUCAUUGUUAAAAGAUCGAUCAUGACCCAAUGAUAUUUCUUUUUCAGGAGACAAAUAAAUUUUUUUAUUUGGUUUGGAUAUGAAUUCUGUCUCAUAACCACUUCUAUAACAUCACUUAUUGCUUUUAUUCCAUGGUUCAAGAAACAUUCAAAUUUUUCCCUCGAAUACUCGAAACUGUCAAAUAUGCAACACUGACACAACCACAAUCAUCUCUAAACAUCAGCUGAAUAGUUCUUUUUAUAAUAACUUUAACAUUUGUCUCUAAAUCUUUAACAAAUUCAAUCAUGCAUAUUGUAACACCCCAAACCCAGCCCAGACGUUAUGACCGGAUCCGACAUGCCACAUCGAAGUGUUCAAAACAUUUUAUAUUGUUGAUCCAGAAAAACUUACUUAGUGUUUUAAAAGAUAAUUUCAUUAUAGGUUAAAGUGAAUGGAAGCUGUGAACCAGGUAGGAAACCGGAAAAAGAGGUGCUGAGUCCAUCGGACUGCUUAAGUACCAAGCUCCCUCCGGAUCCAAUCCUAGACAUGCAUACCGCCAUUGCCACACCUUAACGUCAUGGAUAUUUCUAGGAAACCAAUUUGAUUAAGUCAUUUUUAGGAAAAGUGAUUAAUUUUGGAAAAUAUUUUGAUUGCGGAAGCUUUGCUUGUUGUCGUGUUAUUUUGAAAUCAAUUUUUGUCUUUGAAAACGCGCCCUAAAGCUAUCCAAUUUCAACAGUUAAAAUAAGUAAUACCUAUCUUAGUAAUACAUAUUAAAACCAUCAAAAAUAAUUAAGCGGCCUUAUUACAUUUAAAAACCCAAAACUUCAAACUUAAAUAAAAGGAUGUCCAGUUCACCAGAAGAAAAUCAAACUUUUAGAACGGGUGGCCACUCCGAAUUCCCUCACAGCUCCAAGCCCACUAUGGUUGGGGAUUACCUGCGUGGAUGAAAAUAAAAGGGGUGAGUUUGGGGAAACUCAGUGUGUAAAUUAACCCAACCAUAGCCUAUAUCAGCUCAAACCACAGAAAUAGAAUAAGUUGGCUUUAGCCCAGAAUAGAAAUUCAGAAUAAAGCCCAUAGGCCCAUAAUAGAACAGAACAUAUAUUACAUGUUUAUGCAGAAACCCAACCCAGAUUCAUCCAUAACACCCCGUACCAACCUUACAUUGUGUGGGGAGACAACUUGACCCACCUAACCCCUACACACCACAGAAUUUGCAGCAUGGCUGCCAGAAUAGAUAAUGUGACAGAGUCACCAGAUACAAAUAAUCGUGGCAGAGCCACCAGAACAGAUAUAUGUGGCAGAGCCGCCAGAUCAGAUAAUCAUGGCAUAGCCACCAGAAGAGAUAUAUGUGGCAGAGCCACCAGAUCAGAUAAUUGUGGCAUAGCCACCAGGACGCUUCCUCCAUAAUAUAACCCAUGUCCCCAUGCAACAGAUAUAUAAUCAUGGCAUACAUCAUACAGAAUCAGAUCGUCAUGCUUUUCAAUCAAAAUUAACCCUAGGGGUAUAACGGUAAUUUUGCUCCUAGUGGUCUUAUAGUAAUUUAGCUACUUUUAGGGUUUUCAUGCAUAUCCUAACUAUUUACGUACUAUCAGAACACUUAUUGCGCAUACUUACCAAAUUGGGCCUGUUGGCCCAUGAACCCGAUCUUUGGCCCAUUAAGCCCAAAUUAUCAAAAUGUACGAAAUCGCGCGUACUGCAGUUUAUUACUUUAGAUUACCAAAUAUACAAACCCAACUAUCUUACGAGCAUUCGCACACUCGCAAAUUCCCAAAAUAUCAAAUUUUCGGCAUUUCGGCUUUUCGGCUUUUGCCAAUCUAGUCUAUGAGAGGGUGUCAGUUACACACCUGUUUGCGACGAUAUGCUGACGAGAUCCACACACGAACUGCCUACAAUUGGAUUACUAACACGUUAAUCUAACUAUUCAAAUAUGAACUACGUAUUAACCCCUUACAAUAUUCGGCCAACCACACCUACAGAUCAUAGUAAGCUUAUAAGAAAUCAAUAAGCAACUCAUUAACAAAUUUGUGUCAAUGUUUACCACAUAAUCAUAAUUUCACUGCAAGCUAUCUUCCUGAGCAAUAGUCACUAAAUCAUUUAUAACUGGAGCUACGAAACUCCAAAUCAAGUGCCGUUAAUUUUUCCUGAAAAUAUACUCAUAUAUCUUCUAUCCAUAAAAUUUUUAUAAUUUUUUGUUAGGCCAAUCAAUACCAGAUUUUUCUUAAAGUUUCCCAUGUUUCACUGUUUGACUAAUCUGACAACUCUUCAUUACGAAUCAAAUUUCUCAUUGUACAGAAUUAAAAAUAUGUUCUCGUUUAUUUCAUUUGAAACUAGACUCAUUAAGCUUUAAUUAUAUAAUUUAUUCAGCUUCUAACUCAUCUCCCACAAUUUAUGGCGAUUUUGGAAAGUCACGUUACUGCUGCUGUCCCAAGCAGAUUUAUUACCAAAUCACUCUUUCACACCUAACUUGCAUGCUUGUUAUUUAAACAUGUAUAUCACCAAUCAAUCAUCACAUAUCUAUGAUUUUAUUUAAGUAUAAUCUCCAUUUCAUCAUUUUAAAGCACAACAUGUUAGCCGAUUUUUCACCUUAGCAUCUAAGGCACAUGCAUGCUCAUUUGUUUGGCUCAACUUCUCCUAUCUUCCAUUUUUCAUCAAAAGAACAUGAAACAACAACCAUUUCCUUCAUUUUAAUUCAUGACUAAAUGCUCACAACACAACUAAAAACCAAGAUAUGCUUCAAGAGUUAAGGUAGAAUCAAGAAGAACUCAUGAACAUCAAGAUAGAAGCAAACUGCCAUUAACUUACCUUCAAUUUUCUUCCCUAAGUGAUCGAACAUUCAAGAGCUUUCUCCUCUCCUUUCUCUUCUCUAACUUUCGGCUAUGAUGAACAAAGAUGGACAAACUUUGUUCUUUUCACCCCUUUUUCUUUUAAUAAAUUUUCAUAUUUCAUCAAUUUAAUUCUUUAAUACAAAAGUCAUGAAAUGCCCAUCAUGGAAAAUUUACCUAAACCAUUAUCAUGGAACAUUUACCUAACCCAUUAUCAUGGAAUAUUUACCUAAUCCAUUAUCAUGGAACAUUUACCUAACCUAUUAUCAAUUUGUACCAUGAAUUAUGGAUAUCAAGUGCUCAUAUUGUCUACAACAACAUGAUGGCUGGCCACUUCAUGUAAAAUGGGAGGUUUGUCAUGCAAAUCCUCCUAUUUUGCACUCCUAUUUAUUUGGCCACUUCAAUUUAGCCUAUAGCAUUUUCAAACAUUUUCACAUAGGUCCUAUUUCAUAAUUUCACCCCCUUUUUCUUAUGGAACAAAAAUUAACUAAAAUUGCCGGGUUCUAUCUUAAGCUUGGGCCUUCUAGAGGCCCACUAACAUAAUUAAACCUAUGCCAAUAUUCACAGAAUUCCCAAAAAUUGAGGCGUUACAACUCUACCCUUCUUAAAGAAAUUUCAUCCUCGAAAUUUACCUGAUCCAACUAGUUGAGGGUAUUGUUGACGCAUAGUCUCUUCUGAUUCCCAUGUAGCUUCUUCCCUUCCAUGAUUACGCCAAAGUACUUUCACUAACGGGACAGAUUUUCUUCUGAGAACCUUAACAUCUCGAGCCAAUAUUUGCACAGGCUCCUCCUCAAAGGUCAAAUCAGUCUGAACUUCAAUUUCUGCAACUGGCAGGACAUGAGCAGGGUCAGAACGAUAAUGCCUUAACAUGGAGACGUGAAAAACAUCGUGAAUCCUGUCUAACUCUGGAGGCAAUUCCAACUGAUAAGCCAUUGGGCCUACUCGCUUCAAAACCCGAUAAGGCCCAAUGAACCGCGGACUCAACUUGCCCUUCUUACCGAACCUUAAUAUCUUCUUCCAAGGAGAAACCUUUAAGAAGACCAUAUCACCUACUGAGUACUCAAUCUCUUUACGCUUCAAAUCUGCAUACGACUUUUGCCUAUCAGAUGUUUCUUUUAACCGGUCCCUAAUUAUUCUAACCUUAUCCUCAGUAUCAGCUACCAACUCUGGUCCAAGAAUUUGUCGCUCUCCUAGUUCAGUCCAACAACUAGGGGUACGACACCUUCGUCCAUACAGUGCUUCAUACGGUGCCAGUCGAAUACUCGCCUGGUAACUGUUAUUGUAUGCAAAUUCUGCCAACGGCAAGUAAUCCUCCCAACUACCUCGAAAGUCAAUCACGCAUCCCCUCAAUAUGUCCUCCAGAAUCUGAAUAACCCUUUCCGAUUGACCAUCAGCCUGGGGAUGGAAAGCCGUACUAAAAUUCAAUCGCGUCCCCAACGCCUCAUGCAACCUUUGCCAAAAUCGAGAUGUAAAUCUGGGAUCCCGAUCAGAAAUAAUUGAAACUGGGACUCCAUGAAGUCGCACAAUCUCCGCCACAUACAACUUGGCUAACUUUUGAAGUGAAAAGUCAGUACAAACAGGUAUGAAAUGGGCCGAUUUGGUCAACCUAUCCACAAUCAACCACACCGAGUCUAUCUUCGAUGGUGUCAAGGGCAGCCCACUCACAAAGUCCAUGGUUAGCCUCUCCCACUUCCAAAGUGGUAUCUUCACUGGCUGUAACAGUCCAGAAGGUAAUUGAUGCUCAGCUUUCACUUGCUGGCAUGUCAGACAUUUCCCUACAAACUCCGUUACUUCUCGUUUAAGUCCAGGCCACUAGUACAAUUCUCGCAAGUCGUGAUACAACUUGUUCCCUCCAAGAUGCAUGGCACAAAGUCCUCCAUGAGCUUCCUUUAAUAUUGUCUGCCUCAAAUCAGAGUCCUUUAAAACAUAAAUUCUUCCUCGGAAACACAGAACUCCUUCGCCAUCUAACCCAAACUCAGAAGUUUCCCCUUCCUUAACUUGUUGGAAACUAGCGACCAAAGACUCAUCGUCUUACUACUUUUCCUUAAUCUGAUCCACCCAGGUUGGCCUCACUUGCAACUUAGCCAACAGACUUCUAUCAUCAUACAGACUCAGACGAGCAAACAUUGCUCUCAGAUCAGAUACAGUUCUACGACUUAGAGCAUCGACUACCACAUUAGCCUUGCCUGGGUGAUACUCGAUCGAAUAGUCAUAAUCCUUAAGUAACUCAAUCAAUCUCCUCUGCCUAAGGUUCAGCUCCUUCUGAGUCAACAAAUACUUAAGACUCUUAUGGUCAGUGUAUAUAAUACACCUUUCUCCGUACAAGUAAUGUCUCCAAAUCUUAAGUGCAAAUAUCACUGCUACCAACUCUAAAUCAUGAGUAAGAUAGUUCCCUUCGUGAGGUUUAAGCUGUCGUGAUGCAUAUGCAACCACCUUACCCUCAUGCAUUAACACACAGCCCAAACCCACGUGUGAUGUGUCACUGUACACAGUAAAAUCCUUCCCAGACUCCGGCUGAAUUAACACAGGUACUUCAGUCAGAACUUUCUUCAACUUCUCAAAAGCUUCCUGCUGCUUCUUAGUCCAUACAAAUGGUACUCCUUUCCUUAUGAGUUUUAUCAAAGGUGCUGCCAUCACAGAAAAACCUUCCAUAAACCUUCUGUAGUAUCCUGCCAGUCCUAGGAAACUCUGUAUUUCCGACACUGACCUAGGCGGCUUCCACUCCAAAAUCACUUCAAUUUUUCGAGGGUCCACCUUAAUCCCCUCAGUAGAGACCGCAUGUCCUAUGAAGGUUACCUCCCUCAACCAAAGUUUAGACUUGCUGAACUUCACAAAGAGUUCCUUCUCCCUUAACACUCGCAGCACUAUACGGAGAUGCUCAUCAUGUUUCGCUUCAGUUUCAGAAUAUACCAGGAUAUCGUUAAUAAAGACGACUACGAACUGAUCAAAAAAUGGUUGGAACACACGAUUCAUCAGAUCCAUAAAUGCUGUAGGAGCGUUCCUCAGUCCAAAUGGCAUAACCAGAAACUCGUAAUGACCAUACCGAGUCUUGAAUACCGUCUUAUGGAUAUCUGCCUCCUUGACUCUUAACUGAUGAUAUCUAGAUCGAAGGUCGAUCUUGGAAAAUACAGAAGCUCCUCUAAGCUGGUCGAACAGAUCGUCAAUCCUUGGCAGUGGAUACUUAUUCUUAAUCGUUAGUUUGUUCAACUGGCGAUAAUCAAUGCACAUCCACAUCAUACCAUCCUUGUUUUUCACGAAUAGCACCGGUGCUCCCCAUGGAGACACGCUUGGCCUAAUAAAGCCCCUAUCCAACAACUCUUGAAUUUGAGCCUUUAACUCCACUAACUCCUUCGGUGCCAUCCUCUACGGUGCGAUGGACACAGGCGCCGUUCUAGGCAACAAAUCUAUUCCAAACUCAACUUCUCGGUUCGCAGGCAAUCUUGGAAGCUCCUCCUGAAAAACAUCUUGGAACUCCUUUACGGUCCUAACCUUAUCCACUGUCAGUCCCUCCUCUUUCGACUAACUUACAAAUGCCAAAUAGGCCUCACAACCUAUAUUCUGCCACAUUCGGGGCUAUACCAGACACGCCCCUAAAGAUCUUCGCUCCAUUAGCCCGAAGUCAUUCAGAAAUAGAUCCUUAAAUUCUGUUGCCCGUACUUGCCCCGGCAACCCUUUCCAAAGCACGAAGCAUUUCCUGUGACAAGGCAUCAUCCUCGGCACCACGGUCAUGAGACUCUACCUCUGUUACCGGUGGUAUCGGUGCAUCCACCACCGGCAUAUGUCCCGAAGAUGAAGAUCUCGCUCGAGCACUUCCUCAGCCCCGUCUACGGCCUCUUCCACGAGCGGCUCUUGUACUCAUAUCGUAUUAUCCGAUUACGAAUUUUUAUGCAUUAAUUCAAUAUUCCAGUGUUUAUUACGGAUGUUUUAUGAAUCAGACAGUAAUUCAGAGUUUGUUCUCGCAGAAUCAAAGUCUAGCUACAGUUUCAGUCUCUUAUCAAAUUUUUCUAUGGUUUCAGUAUCAUCCUAUCUAGAGUAUCCUAGCAGGAUUUUAGUACAGACAGAUAAUUCAGGAAAAUAUUCAGAAAAAUUCAGAAUACUUACAUACUUGAGCCGGAGAUUCGGAAUGCCACAAUCUAAAGAUCUAAAUUUUGAAAAUCAAGUUUAUCGCAUUCUUUAUAAAAUUUUUGCUUUCGAAAAUCUUUGUUUUUGUAAACCCAUUCCACAGCUGAGUUGUUGCAACCUAGGCUCUCAUACCACUAAAUGUAGCAUCCCAAACCCGGCCCAGACGUUAUGACCGGAUCCGACAUGCCACAUCGAAGCGUCCAAAACAUUUUAUAUUGUUGAUCCAGAAAAACUUACUUAGUGUUUUAAAAGAUAAUUUCAUUAUAGGUUAAAGUGAAUGGAAGCUGUGAACCAGGUAGGAAACCGGAAAAAGAGGUGCUGAGUCCAUCGGACUGCUUAAGUACCAAGCUCCCUUCGGAUCCAAUCCUAGACAUGCAUACUGCCAUUGCCACACAUUAACGUCAUGGAUAUUUCUAGGAAACCGAUUUGGUUAAGUCAUUUUUAGGAAAAGUGAUUAAUUUUGGAAAAUACUUUGAUUGCGGAAGCUUUGCUUGUUGCCGUGUUAUUUUGAAAUCAAUUGUUAUCUUUGAAAACGCGCCCUAAAGCUAUCCAAUUUUAACAGUUAAAAUAAGUAAUACCUAUCUUAGUAAUACAUAUUAAAACCAUCAAAAAUAAUUAAGCGGCCUUAUUACAUUUAAAAACCCAAAACUUCAAACGUAAAUAAAAUGAUGUCCAGUUCACCAGAAGAAAAUCAAACUUUUAGAACGGGUGGCCACUCCGAAUUCCCUAAUAGUUCCAAGUCCACUAUGGUUGGGGAUUACCUGCGUGGAUGAAAAUAAAAGGGGUGAGUUUGGGGAAACACAGUGUGUAAAUUAACCCAACCAUAGCCUAUAUCAGCUCAAACCACAAAAACAGAAUAAGUUGGCUUUAGCCCAGAACAGAAAUUCAGAAUAAAGCCCAUAGGCCCAUAACAGAACAGAACAUAUAAUACAUGUUUAUGCAGAAACCCAACCCAGAUUCAUCCAUAACACCCCCGUACCAACCUUACACCGUGUGGGGAGACAACUCGACCCACCCAAUCGCUACACACCACAGAAUUUGCAGCAUGGCUGCCAGAACAGAUAAUGUGACAGAGUCACCAGAUACAGAUAAUCGUGGCAGAGUCACCAGAUACAGAUAAUCGUGGCAGAGCCACCAGAACAGAUAUAUGUGUCAAAGCCACCAGAUCAGAUAAUCAUGGCAAAGCCACCAGAACAAAUAUAUGUGGCAGAGCCACCAGAUCAGAUAAUUGUGGCAUAGCCACCAAGACGCUUCCUCCAUAAUAUAACCCAUGUCCCCAUGCAACAAAUAUAUAAUCAUGACAUACAUCAUACAGAAUCAGAUCGUCAUACUUUUCAGUCAAAAUUAACCCUAGGGGUAUAACGGUAAUUUUGCUCCUAGGGGUAUAACAGUAAUUUUCCAUACAUAGGGGUAUUAUAGUAAUUUAGCUACUUUUAGGGUUUUCAUGCAUAUCCUAACUAUUUACGUACUAUCAGAACACUUACCGCGCAUACUUACCGAAUUGGGCCCAUUGGCCCAUGAACCCUAUCUUUGGCCCAUUAAGCCCAAAUUAUCAAAAUGUACGAAAUCGCGCGUACUGCAGUUUAUUACUUUAGAUUACCAAAUAUAUAAACCCAACUAUCUUACGAGCAUUCGCACACUCACAAAUUCCCAAAAUACCGACUUUUUAGCAUUUCGGCAUUUCGGCUUUUGCCAAUCUAGUCUAUGAGAGGGUGUCAGUUACACACCUGUUUGCGACAAUAUGCUGACGAGAUCCACACACGAACUGCCUACAAUUGGAUUACUAACACGUUAAUCUAACUAUUCAAAUACGAACUAUGUAUUAACCCCUUACAAUAUUCGGCCAACCACACCUACAAAUCAUAGUAGGCUUAUAAGAAAUCAAUAAGCAACUCAUUAACAAAUUUUUGUCAAUGUUUAGCACAUAAUCAUAAUUUCACUCCAAGCUGUCUUCCUGAGCAACAGUCACUAAAUCAUUUAUAACUAGAGCUACGAAACUCCAAAUCAAGUGCCAUUAAUUUUCCCUGAAAACAGACUCAUAUAUAUUCUAUCCAUAAAAUUUUCAGAAUUUUUGGUUUGACCAAUCAAUACCAGAUUUUUCUUAAAGUUUCCCAUGUUUCACUGUUUAACUAAUCUGACAACUCUUCAUUACGAAUCAAAUUUCUCAUUGUACAGAAUUAAAAAUAUGUUCUCGUUUAUUUCAUUUGAAACUAGACUCAUUAAGCUUUAAUUAUAUAAUUUAUGCAGCUUCUAACUCAUCUCCCACAAUUUAUGGUGAUUUUCUAAAGUCACGAUACUGCUGCUGUCCCAAGCAGAUUUAUUACCAAAUCACUCUUUCACACCUAACUUGCAUGCUUGUUAUUUAAACAUGUAUAUCACCAAUCAAUCAUUACAUAUCUAUGAUUUUAUUUAAGUAUAAUCUCCAUUUCAUCAUUUUAAAGCACAACAUGUUAGCCGAUUUUUCCCCUUAGCAUCUAAGGCACAUGAAUGCUCAUUUGUUUGGCUUAACUUUACCUAUCUUCCAUUUUUCAUCAAAAGAACAUGAAACAAAAACCAUUUCCUUCAUUUUAAUUCAUGACUAAAUGCUCACAACACAACUAAAAACCAAAAUAUGCUUCAAGAGUUAAGGUAGAAUCAAGAAGAACUCAUGAACAUCAAGAUAGAAGCACACUACCAUGAACUUACCUUCAAUUUUCUUCCCCAAGUGACCGAACAUUCAAGAGCUUUCUCCUCUCCUUUCUCUUCUCUAACUUUCGGCUAUGAUGAACAAAGAUGGACAAAACUUUGUUCUUUUCACCCCUUUUUCUUUUAAUAAAAUUUCAUAUUUCAUCAAUUUAAUUCUUUAAUACAAAAGUCAUGAAAUGCCCAUCAUGGAACAUUUACCUAACCCAUUAUCAUGGAAUAUUUACCUAAUCCAUUAUCAUGGAAUAUUUACCUAACCCAUUAUCAUGGAACAUUUACCUAACCCAUUAUCAUGGAAUAUUUACCUAAUCCAUUAUCAUGGAACAUUUACCUAACCCAUUAUCAAUUUGUACCAUGAAUUAUGGAUAUCAAGUGCUCAUAUUGUCUACAACAACAUGAUGGCUGGCCACUUCAUGUAAAAUGGGAGGUUUGUCAUGCAAAUCCUCCUAUUUUGCACUCCUAUUUAUUUGGCCACUUCAAUUUAGCCUAUAGCAUUUUCAAACAUUUUCACAUAGGUCCUAUUUCAUAAUUUCACCCCCUUUUUCUUAUGGAACAAAAAUUAACUAAAAUUGCCGGGUUCUAUCUUAAGCUCGGGCCUUUUAGAGGCCCACUAACAUAAUUAAACCUAUGCCAACAUUCACAGAAUUCCCGAAAAUUGGGGCGUUACACAUAUAAUCCGAGUUAAACCACACAACUGAAUCAGUAUUGUCUAACAAAUAAUAACUUUUCAAGACCACUUUUCUUUGUGCCUGUCGUAACUCUUCAAAUAUACAUUCUAUUAGAUCUCCUCUAUAACAGAAAUAACACAUUCUUCAACAUUUUUAUAAGAUGGAAUGCAAAUCAAUAGAAACAGAAGAAUAACAUCAUAUGAAUUUAUCCCCAAAUUCAUUCCGAUCACACUACAAUAAAUUCUCAAACAGAGGAAUACGAUGAUAUCGAUUAUAAACCAAUCAAAAUAGCAAUACUUUUAUUAAACAUCGGAGUCAGAUAACAUUCUCACUUUAUAGCAUUUUCAUCAGAAAAAGGAAUAAUCACACAUGUGUCCCUGAGAAUAAGAAAUAUACAGAAUAUUCAAAAGAAAUCAUCUAAAUUCACUUGACUGUAAUUAUCCAAUUCAGACACUCUUACUAUUCAUUCGUCAUUUCGAAUGCCAUUCUAUUUCAUUCACUAAUGAAAACCACUUAGGAAGAAUUCCCAACAGAUACAUACUUAUACAUCAUAUCUGAUUGAAUUAAAUUACCAGACCAACUUUCUUUUACUAAUGACAAUAUUCAAUCUGAAGAACCUUCGGGACAUUGUACAAGUCCUUCCAGCCUUAAUUCAUUGCCAAAUCGUUCUAAAAUUUGCUUACUUAAUCAUUAUCUCACUAUUUAACUCUUUAAUCUUUCUUUGCAAACUCGUUCUAUUUUGUUCCAUUGAAACCUUAUAAUCAUAUCACUGGUAAGGGGGUGAGGUCGUUAAGCCUCGAAAGGGAGUUUCAUAUUCGAAUACACAGAUAAAUUCAUCUCUCAUCAUCAGAGUAUUACACACUUUGAUUC